Molecule: long non-coding RNA, 74342 nt
Filed under: Ananas comosus (pineapple)
Lineage: Eukaryota; Viridiplantae; Streptophyta; Magnoliopsida; Poales; Bromeliaceae
Description: long non-coding RNA (ACOM_LNC016450)
Source: RNAcentral
UAUAUAUAAUUUUUUUAUGGCCAAUUUGCAUAAAAAAUUACUAGUUUUCAGCUUUUAUAAAAUUAGACCGUCUUUUUGGAUUUUACAGAUUCAGGUCUGAUUUUCAGAAAACCGACAAAAAUACUCUUGUUCCCUUUUAGUGCGUCUGGGGUGCUUUCGGAAGCACGGAGCGCUCCGUGCUUCCACUUUGUUUUCGAUGUUGGGACUUUCAAAUCGACGAUCGGCUCCGUUAGACUUGAUCUAGAGUAUUUGAAGUAUUUAGAAAAUAAAUUUUGCGAUUUUUCGAUAUCAUUUGCCUAGUGAUCGAAGGGGCUCAAAAUCAAUAAUUUUAACGGCCGUGGUNAAAUUUAGUUGGGCAUAUUUUGUAGGACAAUAAAUAUUGUCACAUAGCAUUUUUUACAAACCUGAGAUAAAGAUUAAAUAUUAUUUGACCGUACAUAUUUCAAUUGUCCUAUAAAACAUAAUUGAAAAAAAAGAAAAUUCUAAGGCCAAUUUGCAUAAAAAAUUCACUAGUUUAAGCUUUUGCAAAGAUAGCUCGCCUUUUUGGAUUUUGCAAAUUCAAAAUGGGUUUUCAAUAAAUUGACCAAAAUAUACUUGAUCCCUUUUCUCUCCUCUUUUUUUUUUUUUUUUUUUUUUUUUCUCUCUCGUUUUUUUUUAUCCCCAAAAGGGCGGCGGAGGCGGAGGCGGCCCCGGCCCGCCUCGCCUCUGUCCGGCGCACCCUCACCCUCACUCUCACCCGCACACCCUCCCCCGCCUUCCUCGCCUCCGACCCCGCCAACGCGUUGAUCCUCCUCCAUCGCCUCCCCAGCUCUUUACAAUAGUAAAGAUGCUAACGCUGUGUCCUCUUUCUCUUCUUUUUUUCUUUCAUUCUUUUUUUCUCUCUUCGACCCCUCUCCAUCAUCUCCGCGAUUCUUCACGACGGUAACAAAGACAGCGCCGCGUUCUCUUACACCGCCUUCGUCGGCGCAGACAUUAACAUCGGCGCCGGAGAAGGAGGACUCAGAGCGAGCGCGGGUAAAAGCGGAGCCAAGAAAAAAAUAUAAAAAAUAAAUAAAAUAAAAUAAAAUAAAAUAAAAAGAAUAAAGAAUAAAAUAUAGAAAAUAUUUUUUUCUACAAAAAAAAAAGAAUCAGAGAGAAAAGUAGAAGACGAUGAAGAUGCACUAUUUCAGAGGAACGUUGCACUGUUUUAAAGAAAAAUUACAUUUUUCUGAAUGAAAGUUGCACCCUUUGAACGAAAUUUGCAUUCUUUGGGCGAAAAUUACACUGUUUCUCCUCUUCCUCUACACAAAAACAAAGAGGAAGGAGGAGGAGAAAGAGGAGAAACAGUAUAAUUUUCGCCCAAAGAGUACAAUUAAGUUUCGUUAAAAGAGUGCAACUUUUAUUCAAAGAAGUGUAAUUUUUCUUAAAACAAUGCAACAUUCCUCUGAAAUAGUGCAUUUUCAUCAUCUUCUUCUUUUAUCUCUGAUUCUUUAUUUUUCUUGUAGAAAAAAAUAUUUUUCUUUAUAUUUUAUUCUGUAUUUUUUUAUUUUAUUUAUUUUCUAUAUUUUUUUUCUUGGCUCCGCUCUUACCCGCGCUCGCUCCGAGUCCUCUUUCUUCGACACCGAUGUCGAAGCUUGUACCAGCUAAGGCGGAGUAAGAGAAUGUGGCGCUGUCUUCGUUAUCGUCGUGGAGGCAGUAGAGGAGGAUUGAAGAGAAAAAAAAAAAAAGAAUGUCGUGGCGCGGUCUCAGCGAGGUCAGAGGUGAGGAAAGAGGGGGGUGCGCGGGUGUCAUGCUCUGGCACCGCCACUUUGGUCGGAUUCGGGCGCGCACACAGACCGUCGAACGGAUAGAGUUUCCCCUAUCCGCCCAGGACAUCACAAUCAAUACAAUUCAAUAGGCUCCAUUCAGGAACAGAAUGUAUACACAGAUUGUAUAAGGAGGCAUCAUAAACAUAAACUAAUACGCUAUUACAAGCAUUCACUUUACAUUCACAUUUACAUUACAUUUAAUUAUAUUUUUCCAAAUACAAUCAACUUUAUUGAAAUUUUAUUUCUUUUUUUUCUUUUCUAUACCCUAUGCUACAAUGACCCAGGGUACAUUUAUCUCGGAUCACAAGUGGUAAAGCGCUAUCUACCGAGCUACGCCCUCUUCUCGCGCCGCCGCGCCGCUCACGUGAGGACCUAAAAAACAUGAGGGUAAGAAUUAUAAACAUAGUUCCCAGUAAGUAUGACCACCCGAGGGAAGAGCUCGACCCACCAGAUCCAAAGGAGGCAAUAUAAGCAGAUUAAUCCAAUAGAUAAGCAGAUAAUUAUACUAUGUGCCAUAUGCGAGUAAUAAAAACAUCCAUACUUAUGUCUCAACGAAAUGCAAUAAUGAAAUCUAUGCCAGUAGGUAUUUCUUUUCUACUUUUUAUUUGACAAUCGAUUGCAUAUUCAACCAGCUCAUAAGGUUUCUCUUACCUUAGCCAAGCUAUAUCACCUGACUCGAUCUUGAGUCAAUCAUCCACAGCUUAUCGCCUUACUUGAAUUAGCUACCUGGCGGCAAAAUCAUAGCACACACCGAACAACGGCUUAAGUCGCAUGGCGGUGUAAUCCUUUACUUGACUUAGCCAUCUGGCGGCAAAAUCGACGCACAUGCCGAACAAUGGCUCAAGUCACUGGGCGGCAAAAUCAUCGCACACACCCCGGGUAUCCAACCUUCGACGGCGAAAUCGUCACACACGCCUAAGCUGACACCGAAAUCCAUCUGGCGGCGAAAUCGUCGCACACAUCGAGUUCCGAUACCAAAACCAUUAGAUGUGCACAUCAUUUUCCAUUCCAAGUCUCAAGGGUUCAUCAUUUUCCCUAUGUUGUCAACCUCUCUAGGUUUAUAGUCAUAUGUCCAAGUGGCCAUCCUACCACUAUAUUGUCCAAUCUAUGUUCAAUGAUACUAGGUUCAAUGACGUUUCCACCUAGAUUCACUCAACUCUAGGUUUAAUGACAUUCCAAUACAAGUGGUCUUCUUACCACUACAUUUUCCAAUUCCUAUAUUCAACAACAUUAGGUUCAAUACUCGAUCACAUUCUUUCCAGUCCUAGUUGUUCACACCUAGGAUUCAUAGUUUCUAUGACAUCUAGUCCAUUGAUUUUCCACUUGUCGAAUCCUCUAAUUAUCCUAGAGUUCAUCGACCUAUGUUCAAUGUUCAUACCUAGGCAUACAUUUAUAUAUCCUAUAUGUUUUCACAUGCCUAUGUCAUCAUCAUCCAAUGCAAGGUAAUUCCAUCUAGCAACAUAUGAUUUAUACAUCUAUAUUUAUAACAUAUAACCUACCAUACAUACAUGCAUCAAUGAGUAAUACAAAUAUUAAACUUUACUCUUUGGCAUGAAAGUGAUCUAAUCACUUCGGUGAAGCAUAACCCACCUCACAAUGCUUUCGAUUGCUUGCAGACACUUGCAAUCGGACACCCGCGGCCAACGUCACCCGAUUCGGCUCGAUACGCGAAAUUGACCACCGAACGCCCGUCGAUUUCAAAAUCAAAGUUGCCUAGGGCUCUCCUCUAACCUUCAAUUAGAGAACUAGAGGAUCAAUUUGGGGCUCUCCUCUAAUCUUCAAUUAGAGAACUAGAGGAUCAAUUUGAUUCAAAACCUCAAAACCCCAAAACCCCCAAUUCUAACCCUAAAUUUCAAUUUCUCUAAAAAUAUCUCAAAAUCUAUGGAGAAAUCUUGAUUAAACAAAUGUAGAAUCAUCUAGGAAACUAAAAUCUCAAUUCUUAAAAGGAUUUAGCAAAACCCUAGCCUUAAAUCCCAAGAUCUCACCUUUGCCACAAUCUCCCCAAGCUUCUUGUUGCUCCAAGAAGCUUGCUCCACUCCCCCAAGCCCUUGCCCAAGAUCAAUCCCACCAAAAUCUUCCAAGUUUUGGAGAUUUCUUGAGAGAGAAAGUGGAGAGAAGAGAGGGAGAGAAAGAGAGAAAGUGAGGGAGUGAGUGGGGGAGAAGAAGAGCCCUAGUUCUUUUAACCAUUUUCCCUCCACCAAAAUUACCAAAAUACCCUUAAUCUAGGUUGUUAGCGCGCGCAAGUUCCGGAAUCUGGCUUUAGGCUCUGGAACCCGUAGCUCAAUUUUCAUGCAGCGCAAUCAAGUUCCAGAACUUGGGUUCAAUUUUCGAAACCCGAAAGUCCAUAGCUCAAAAAACACAAUUUCUAAAAAUUCUCACUUUCGCUCCUUGAAGCUCUGAUCCACUUCUAAUCAUUCUAAAAUCUUCAAAUCUCAUUUUUAAGCAUAUUUAAAUUAUUUCUCAAUUGUAUUUUGUCCAAUUGGUAUAAGUUUAGUAUAAUGCUUCAAAACUCGAUACCUUACAGCAGGCGAGGGUGAGGGUGCGCGAGAUAGAGGUAAGGCGGGCCGCCUCCGCCUCCGCCUCCGCCUCCGCCUCCGCCGCCCUCUUGGGAGAGAAAGAAAAAAAAAAGAACGAGAGAAAAAAAAAAAAAAGAGGAAAAAGAAAAGGGAAUAAGGAUAUUUUGGUCAGUUUUCUGAAAAUCCGGCCCAAAUCUACAAAAUCCAAAAAGGCGGCCUACUUUUGCAAAAGCUCAAAACUAAUAGAUUUUUUAUGCAAAUUGGCCUUUUUCUAUUAUUAUAUAAGUAAUUAUUUCGCCGGGAAGUAAUAAAUUGGAUGCUGAUUGAAAUUUUUUUCUUUCGAAGUGAAAUGCUUGUAGGAUCAAAAUUUUAUACAAUGUUGUUUACUCAUUCUACAAUUGGAUUAUAUAUAGAGAGAGAGUAGGGCUACUAUACUUUUAUGAGUAUAGAGCCCUUCGUACUCAUAAGUUGUUUUCGAUGAUGUAGCUUCCGAAUCGACGAUCCACCUCAUUAAAUAUGAUUUAGAGUAUUUGAACCUUCUAAAAAAUAAAUUUUGUAAUUUUUCGAAAUCAUAAUAAAGUCCAUCAAACGGGUAUAAAAUGAAUGGUCAAAAUCGAACGACGUCCUAAAAAUGGAUUGUCGGAUCCUUCAAUUUAAGAUCAGAGUUAUUGAUCUCUAUCUAAAUAUUGAAUAGAAUUUUCUAUCAAAAGUUCGACCGAUUUUGAUUCUUUUAUACCACUAAACUAGCAUGUAUUCCAUACCGGCUGUUAAAAAUUAUCAAUUUUGAAAUCUUUUGAUCGUAUGGUAAAUGAUUUCAAAAAAUUAUAAAAUUUGAUUUCUAGAAGUUUUAAAUGCUCUAAAUAACGAUUAACGGUAUGGAUCGUCGACUCAGAAACUUUAUCAUUGAAAACGACUUAUAGUAUGAAGGCGAUCAUACUCAUAAGAGUAUAAUAGCCGGUAUAUAUAUAUAUAUAUAUAUAUAUAUAUAUAUAUAUAUAGGCUAGAAUACUAUUAAUAGCACCAAUGACUUGGUGCUAUUAAGUUUUCUACCCUUGAAUUAAAAGAUGUGCUGUUAGGAUGAUGUGGGCCCCUUAGGGUUUAGUGGGCGGUUAGUUGAAUAGUAUAAUCGAACGGAUGAAAAUGAUAAAAGAGGUAAAUCUAACAGCAGAAAACUUGAUAGUACCAAAUGCUUCGUGCUAUCGAUAGCAUCCCAGCCGGACUAUAUAUAUAUAUAUAUAUAUAUAGAGAGAGAGAGAGAGAGAGAGAGAGAGAGAGAGAGAGAGAGAGAGAGAGAGUUGAGCGAAUGCUAUCGGUAGCAAACGGGCUUUGUUGCCACCCAUUUGUUUUCGAUGAUGGAACCUUCAAAUCGACGAUCAAUACCAUUAAACAUAAUCUAUACCACUUGAAGUAUUUAGAAAUCAAAUUUCAAAUCAUUUUGACAUCAUUGACCUAAUGAUCAAAUGGUUUCAAAAUUUAUAAUUUUAACAGUCGAUAUAAGGCGUUUUCUAGUUUAAUAGUGUAAAGAUAUCCAAAUCAAUUGAAUUUUGAUUAGAAAAUUUUUUAAACUAUUUAGAGCAAUAUCUAUACUCUCGAUCUUGGUUACAAGACUCAUAUCAUCACUUUUUAGAGGAUUUCACUUUCAGCCGGUUAUUUUUGUGUCCACUUGAUGGACAAGAGAACAAUAUAUAUAGAAAAAGCAUGAAAUUUAGUUUCUACAUGCUUCAAGUGGUAUAGAUCAUGUUCAACGGUGCCAAUCGUCGAUUUGGAGGCUCUAUCAUCAAAAACAAAUCGAUGGCAUCGGAGCCCGUUUGCUAUCGAUAGCAUUCCAGCUCAACUCUCUCUCCCUCUAUAUAUAUAGAAUUGGGUUGGAAUACUAUAAAAUAGUAUUUGGACUUUUUUGUUAUCGAGUUUUUAAUCCUUGGAUUAAAAAUUAUAAAAUUAAAGAAUCCAAUUCUCUAUUUUUAGGAUGUCGUUUAAUUUUAACUGUUCAUUUUUACCCGUUUGAUGGACAUUAUUAUUAUUUCAAAAAAUUACGAAAUUUAUUUUUUAGAAGUUUCAAAUGCUCUAAAUUAUAUUUAAUGGUGUGGAUCGUCGAUUCGAAAGUUCCAUCAUUGAGAACAACUUAUGAGGUUAAAAAAUUCUAUAUUCAUAAGAGUAUAGUAGCUCUACUCUCUCUCCUUUUUCUCUCUCUAUAUAUAUAGAGAGAAUUAAGCUUCUAUACUUUUAAAAGUAUAAGUUAUUACUGCUUAUAGGUUUUUGGACCUUGAAUUAAGGGAUGUGUGGUUAGGAUGAUAGUGAUUUUCUAGGAUUGAGUGGAUAGUUGAUUGAAUAGUAUGAUCUAAUAGGUGAAAAUGGUUAAAAGUGUAGAUCUAAAUGCAGAAAACUUACAAGCACCAAGUGCUUAGUGCUUUUACAAGCAACAUAACUGUACUAUAUAUAUAUAUAUAUAUAUAAUAUAUAUAUAUAUACACACACCACACUUAAACUUGUGCAGACCCCUCUACAUGGCCCUUCAACUUGAGUAAUUAACUUUUUUUAUUUAACUGACGUGCACACCUCAACUUGUAAUUAUUUCAAUGUUAGCCAGUUUUUUAAAUUAAAUUAGAGAUUUUAUAAAAAAAACAACAUACAUAUACCCUUCAACUUGAUUAAUUAACUUUUUUUUCUUUAACUGACGUGCACACCUCAACUUUUAUUUCGAUUUGAGCCAGUUUUUUAAAAUUAAAUUAGAGAUUCUAUAAACAACGCUUCAAUUGUACCUUUGAGAAUUUAAAAACCUCACAAUUCCAUAAAUUUAAAAAACAAUGCAACUAGAGUUUUUAAGAUUGCUAAUAUGAUUAAAUGAUUUUUGGAAAAUACGUAGCUUUCGAAAAAUGGAAUUUAUCAUACACAUAAAUAUACAUACAGCUUGAGUUUUUACUUAUUUUUAAAUAAGUGCUAUUAAACUAUUGAUGUGUUUAAAUGUACAUUUAACUUUUAGGCCUCAUCUAAACUUAGAAGCAUCUUGUUUCAAUUAAUCAUGCAAUAUCCUUUGGAUAUCUAUUAUCUAAUCAGGAUACUAUUGUGGAAGCAUAACUUCACAAUUCUGAUCUGGUGUUUGUAAGGCUGCCCGGCUACUGGCAAUUUCAAUCUGCACCAAAGCUGGCAAGGUGAGAGAGUGCUGUUUUAUGGCCACCUAGAUGGCAAUGACAAAAUUUUAUAGAACUCAUUCCAGUCAUUAUUCAGCUAAUGCCAAGAUAAACUUGCUCCCAUUGCAACGAUUGUGCGCAAUGAUAUCAUUCAACUUCAGUUCGUGACCUAUCUGAUCAUGAAGAUUAUUCUGAACUGCAGCAGCUUUCAUUUGAACUUCGCAAUUUCAAGUUAAAUGAAGAAUCCGAUCGUAUCCAGUGGCGAUGGAGUGCAAAUAGAGAAUUUACUGUUGCAUUGAACGUACUUGCGAUGGGCUAUCUAUAACUCUUUGGGUAGUUAAAACGAUACCUAAAGUAAAAUGAUUCAUAUGGCUCACCUGUCAAAUAAAUUACUUACGAUUGAUAACCUAUCCAUGAGGGCUAUACUGGGACCAAGCACUUGCCUUCUUUGCAGGGUAACACCUGAAGACUGAAACAGCCGCUCUGCUAAUUUUAUGCGCUUUCUUUUCUCAUCUUUGGGAUCCUAUUCUACCAUUGGUUAACAUUCUUUCUCGUAAGUACCACUCCCUCCGCAAUACAUAUAUUUUCCGACGUGCAAGUGUUGUAAGACAAUAGACACGAUAAAUCAUUCACCGUGCUUAGACACGAUAAAUGAAUUACUAUGUUUAACUUAAUCCAGCACCUCCACCCUCCCUCGCGUGGCGCUUACAUGGCGCCUGCGUGGCGAGAAUAGAACCAAAAUUACAAUUAUAAAUUUGGUAAAAUUAUUUAUAAAAAUAUUUUUUUUGAAGGAACCAAAUGCAAAAAAAAACCCAUAUAUAAAUGAAAAGGCGUAGGCUAGGUUUACAAGGACUACUUUGUUAGCUUGCGCUGAAGUACCAAAAAGUCAAGCAUCAAGAAUAGACAGAAAAAGUGCAAAUAGCCCAAAAAAGAGUUAACAUGGAUGUGUUGCAACAGGAAGCCAAAAAUUCCUGACACAACUUUGCGUGCAUGUACAUUUUUACAAUUAAGUUAAAACUGCAAACUAGAAAUCGAAAUAGUAAGUCAGAUAAGAAAAAACGAGAAGAGGAAGAAGCAGACGCGGCAAAAACAAAGAUACUCUUUUUCUGCUUUAAGCUGAGGUUAGUGAGUUCUUCGGCUCAUCUGCCAUGCCAAGUGGUCAACUGCAACCAUUGCUUGUGGAGCCGAACCAAGAGAGCCUUCAUACCUGCAUAUUGGUUCAUCGUUAAGUCCACAUGGUAAGAAAUCUCUAUUUUGCUGUCUGAAUCAGAUAAUACAAAAAAACUUGUCUUCACGGAAUCAAGAAGAUAUUAAAAGCAAAUUAUCUUGCCAGAAGUCUUACAUUGCAACUAACAAGAAUGAGCCAGUCUGCAUGACAAUGACUCCUUCCCCACCAGGCUUUGAUGUAUUGACACAACGAGCGCAGAACCAGUGCUCAUGUAUAGAGGUGACCAGAUCUAUUAAAUGCUAAAAUAAAUAAUCAUGAAAAUGACAACAGACUACCAAACAAUAAGAUGAGUAACAACAAACAACAGUGGCAACAUGAGAGCUAAUAAAAAUCAGAGUACUCACACUGGUUUUGGCCAAGAGAAAAGAACUCCAUUUGCCAAUUUUUUCGUUUGACAAAGUCUAGGAACGGUAGCAAGUCAACAGCUUUGAGUUUUAUCCCCUCCUGCUCUGCUCUGGUAGCAGCAAUUAACAUUUCGCAUUAAUAACAAAACAUAUAUUCACAUUAUGAAAAUGAACAGAAAAAUUGUGCCCAUAUCUCUAAGCAUGCAAAAUAAACAGUUGGGACAUUUGCACAUCUGAAUGAUCACCAAUCUAGUUAAAUUUUCAGGGAGAAAUGAAAUGAACCUCUGUGGCCCUGCCAGAUUCCACUUUUAUCACUCUAUGGUUCGAAAUGAAGUAUGUUGUGUUAGGAUUGUGUUGAUUUGUACUUUUACAAAAUCAAGUUAAUAAUAUACUUAUAAAAAAUGCAGUACAUUUUCGUCAAGCAUACGACAUACAACACACUAUGCAAUUGUACCGCCUUGACUUGGUUCACAUCACCAAAUAUAUGAAUCUUAAUAGGAGUUCAAUUAGGAUUAAGAAGCAUAUAUACAUGGGUUAUGGUAUAGCUUAAGAGUGUGCAGCAAAGUGUGGCAAUAUGUCCUAGCGUUGAGUUCUCCGGUUGAAGCACUAUGAAGAAAGAAGAGGAGAGAGUGGGAGAGAUUUAAAAAGAGGGCACGGGAUUGAAGCUACUCGAAUGGAGAAGAGAAGUUGGCUGCAUUCUUCUCUUGGCUAGUGAUCGUUGUUUUCAUGUUCAGUUUUCUUUUAUUAUGGAUUUCCAGUUUUCUUUUAUUAUGGAUUUCCAAGCUUUUUGCUACAGAAGGGUUUAUGGUAAAAAUUGGAUUGGCAUUUCUGCUGCAAAUCCCCAGUAUGAUGUUCCCCAGUGGUUGUUGUUCCUAUUUUCUUCAAGGGCAGACUAUCAAAGUGCCUUUAGAAAAGGUGGAAAAGUGUAAUUGUUUCGAACCACUAGUCAGUAUAGUGAACUCUGGUUAUACCUGGAGAUCCUCAAAGUAUUGUAAUUAUUUGCAAUGCUUCAACAACACAAGUGAUUGGGUUCUACAGUGAAUGAACUUAAAUAAAACAACUUAAUGCAAUAAAGGAAUCCACAACAAGACCUUGACCAGAAUGGAAAUGUUUUUAGCUACACCAUGUAUCACAAAGUGAUCGACCAAACUGUUACUAAUAGCAAAUAGGAGUUGUGCAAAUUUGCAUCCAUGUUUUCUUGAAAUUAUGAAAACUUGCAUUUAUGUUUAAGAAGGAAAGUUGGCAAAGGAGCUUAUGUCAAUCAUGUUUAAAGAACAAUACUGGCGAAAACUAUCAUACCUUUAAGCAACUACAAUUUAUAGGAAAAGAAACUUAGAAGUACAUGAAAAAAACCCUAUCUUGAUUCCAGACAGUAACACAUAAUGAGGGGGCAUUUACACAUUUGAUAUAGUUGCUUAAGAAGAAUCACAUGGGUAAGUAUUAGUAUACAUCCUCAAUCUAGAAUGCCACAUGAUUAGCCAAUGUGGUAUUUGUCAUGUACCAUGAAUAUCUAGCAAAAACACAGAACUGAUGCCACAUCCUAGUAAGUUCCCACACCGUACAUAAUUAAAAAGGCCAAUGUAUAAUCCUUAAUGUUUGCUAGUAUGGGCUGAAAGAUGAUUUUACUAUGACAUUUCGAAAUACAGGCCUAACAAUAGCUUAGUUAGACGCCGUGAUGUCAUCUUAGUUUCUCUCACAAAUUUUAGUGGGUAUUCAUAGGGAGGCAUGAUUGCACCAAUACCCUUGCCCUAUUCCAUAUACGAAUUUCUAUAGUUCCAACACAUUUGGUGGCCAUUGGAUAUUUUUCUUAAUAGUUUCACUCUAUUCCCGUCGAACACCACCAUGAGUGACAAUUUAAUAAUGUCACUAAUAUGAUUUGAGGUCAUAUGGUUCCUUUGCAUAUACCGGCCUAAUGUAAGUUGUUUUCAAUGAAAUUCUAAAUAUUUUGAAUUCAACUCGUAGCGGAACACUCAGCAUCCAAAUCUUCCAUUAUUCCUUUCUUUUUUUCUUUUCUUUUUUAUUUGUUCUCAAACCCGAAAACUUUGCCCUCAUAAUGCCCUUUCAAAUGAUAGCAUCUCCUGCCACUUCAUAUGUAUCCCUCUACUUUAACCUAAAGAAGUUCUCUCAUGAUCCCAAAUCAUCUUACAUCUUAAAUACAGUACUUUCUCUCAUAUUAUCUUUUGUACAUUACUUGUUUGUCAAUGUCACAACUGAUACUUUAAUUCGAAUGAAAACCCUGAAUCACUUAGCAAGUUGAGCAGACGGUGCCAAGUAUACUGUUGAAUCACAUCAAUUCAGCUUUCUUGCCUUUCCACUGCACUUAUGAUAUAAUCAUUACAAUUAUCCCUGUACUAACUCUCUCACCUUCCUAGAUAAUCUAAUGUCCCGAACAACAAACGAACUCCAAGUACUAUUGUCUCAGAACCUAUAAUCAAUGCAUCAUAUGAAACAAAAGAUUACUCCAAAAGCUCAGUUAUAGUAGUAUAGAAGAGCGUUUUUGAUGUUUAUAUUCAACACGCUGCAAAACCCCUACUCUGAUACCACGUGAAAUAAUUCGAAAGUGCUUGGAAGCUCCCACCUACUAAUGCUAUAACGUAUUAUAGGGAACACCACUGGAGGAGCAUUUGUCGGAAGCUGUUAAUUACUGGGAUUUGAAACUAAGAAGUAAUUAGGGUUUCUUUGAAAGAGCACUUUGUAGAAGCUCCGGUCAAGCCAAAUGACCAAGAUCUAUGUAAGAGUUCAAGCCUCCCAAGUGAAUUUUCGGAUGGCAGGAAAUGAUUACGGAGUUAAAAAAAAAAAAAAAAAAAAAAAAAAAAAAAAAAAAAAAAAAAANCGGCGCCCGCCCGCCCCCGCUCGCGCAGAACGCGCCGAGAACGUGCGGUGGAGGAAAAGUCGUAGCCCACACGACCGACGGCACAACGCCACCUCCCAGACGGGAUGGCGGACGGGACAGGCAACAGGGCGAGAGAAGGCGGAGAGUACGGGAGAAGGCAGAUGGGAUGUCGGACGGGACAGGCAACAGGGCGAGAGAAGGCGGAGAGCUAUCGGACGGGACAGGCAACGGGGCGAUCGAAGGCGGAGAGGCACCACCACGAAGGCGGAGAGGACGAAAGGACGGCGAGGGGAGCAACGCCGUGUCGUACGGGAGGAUGCGACGGUGUUCCCGAGGGAGGACAGCGUUGGCGUCGCGGCUACGAAAAGAAGGAGGAGAGGACGGAGGGUGAGCGGAGGACGGUAACGCCACGCCAUACGGGAGGGCGGCGGGGCGGGGCGCCGCCGUACGGGAGGACGGAGAGCGCGAAACGCGGGGAGGGCUCGAAACCUAUCGCCCUUUCAUAAGCUUAUAUUGAUUAUAAGAUAAUGAUUAAAUAAAAUAUCACAUAACUUUCAUUUUAAUAAGAUCUCAAUAUUCAGUCCACUAAAUUGGAAUACAUAAUUUGAUUAUAAUAAUUUAAAAUAUUCGUAAUAAAAUUUGGAAUAAAUUAAAAUUUAAAAAACAAAGUGUCACAGGCCUCAUAGGUUGAGGGCCAAAAGCAUAAUUUAUCCUUGUUUUAAUUACCUUUUAAUUAGAUUUAGUUGAACUAAUUUAGUUACAGAUUUUAAUAAUUUUGUUGUAUUGGGAAGUAAGUUCAUUAAUUUUGAUGCCUUUAUAUAUAUUUUGUCAAAUAAAACUAAGUCUCUUUAUAUACUAUACCAUUCGAAGUGUUUACUCGAGCACUACUUUAUUCCAUAAAAAACAUCUCGGCAUCAGGAUCUUGGGUGAAUGCGUGUGUCAUUAAUCUUCCUCUAGGAUUUUUAUUUUUAACUAGGAUUUUUAUUUUUAGGCUAACACAUGAUUAAUUAGGGUAUAAAAAAUAUAUAAAUUUUUUCCUAACAUUUUCAAAUCAGAUCUAGAAAAAGGGAGAUGAAAAAAAAAACGAGAUCCAAAACUAAAUUAAUAAGAAUCAAAAAUACCAAAGUGCCUGCUAAGCAUGUUCCGUAGAAAGAUUGCAACUAAAUGAAACAAGACAUGGCUUCAGAUCUGACGAAGUUUGCAACAGAUCUGUAAUCAAUAUGUGAAAAAGAGGCAUAAACACUCCUUAAAUCGACGAAAAAUUGAAAAAAAAAAAAAAAAAAAAAAAAAAAAAAAAUCCAAAUCGGAUCUAACUUCAAUUCGAAAACAAGGGUUUUAGCAAGAGAGAAGAAGUGAUUAAAUAUGUAUGCGAAAAUGAUGAAUGGAGGGAAGGAGAUUGCGAAGAUUACCUGCAAGGACGAAGCAGUAGAAAAGGAUUGGUGUUCGUGCGCGCGCGUGCGAGAGAGAGAGAGAGAGGGGGAAACAAUUUUUUUUUUUAAGAUUGGUAGCACGUUACCUGUUUUUUACUUAGAAAUAAAUUUAGCUAAAAAUGUAAAUCAAUUAGGAUUCGAAUUCGAGACCUCGGGUACCAACCACUAAACCCUUUGCCACUUGUACUAGGGACGGUAGGUGGGAAACAAUGUUGUUAAUAGGGUUUCGAGGCAUUGGAGGCUAAAAUUGUUAUUUUACAUAUAAUAAUAUACAAUAUUACUCUUUUCAGUAAUCCAAGAUACAUAAUUUUUCGAUAUAAUCUUGCACAUUUUAAACCAAAUUUAGUAAUUCUGACAUAAUUACUUAUAAUUCUGCCAAGAUAAUCCGAACCAAAUGCACCCUAAGGUGGGGUUAACAAACCCCACCCCUCCCAUGAAACUGAGAUGGGAUUAACUGUGAGACCCUAGAUAGUCCUAUAUAUGAGAUAUAAUAGGGCUAAACUCUUAACCCGGCUUAAGCAUUUUGGGUGGUGGCAAGGCCCAAGAGGUUAAGAGAGUUAAGCGUGCUAGGACGGGAGUAGUCCUAGGAUGGGUGACCCCCUGUAAGUUGGGCGUCACAUUAACUAAUCCCACCAAAAUUUAAAUUUUAAAUUUAUAUUUUAAAUUUUAAAUUUUUUUUAAAUUUAAAAAUUUGUAAUCUUAAAAUUAAAUUUAUAAUUAUAAAUUAUAAAUUAUAAAUCUUAAAUUAGUAUUUUUAAUUUUUUAAAUUUAAAAUUUGAUAUUUGAUAUUUUUAAAUUUAAAUUUAAUUUUAAAUUUUAAAUUUAGAACUUUAAAUUUUUGAAUUUGAAGUUUACAAAUUUAAAUUUUAUUUUGAAUUUUUAAUUUUUAAAGAUAUAUAUUUAAAUUUUAAAUAUAAAAUUUUAAAUUUUAAAUUCAAAUAUAAUAAGCAAUAUUAUUAUUUUCUAUUUAUAACUACUUAAUAUUCUUCUUAUUCCAUCUCAUCUAUUCAAAUGCUAUUUUUUUAUAUUUAUCUUUUUAUUUAAUAAUAAAAUUACAAAAUAAAAUAGAUAUAAAGUUACGAAUCAUAUUGUUUCAUGGCUAAUUUGCAUAAAAAAUCCACUUAUUUUGGGCUUUUGCAAAAUCGGGUCACCUUUUUCAUUUUUGCAGAUUCGGUCCGCUUUUUCAGCAAACUGACCAAAAUACCCUUAUUACUUUUUCUCUUUCCUCUUUCUCUCUCCUCUUCGUUUUCUCGUUCUUUUUUUUUUCCGCCGGAAAAAAAAAGCAAAGGCCAAGCGGAGCAAUUUUUUCUUCUCUUUUUUUUUUCUUCUUCUUCUUCCUCCUGCUGAAGUACCUUUUUUUUUUCCCUCUUCUUUUCUUCUUCUUCUUCUUCUUCUUCUUCCCUCCUCGUGACCGGCUGUUCGAGUCCUGGCUCCACCCGGCCCAGUACCGCACUCGCCUCUGCAAGGACGAGAUCGGCUGCGCCCGCCGCGUCUGCUUCUUCGCCCACAAGCCCGACGAGCUCCACGCCGUCAACCCUUCCCUCGCCUCCGUCUCCGCCGGCCUCGCCCUCCCCUCCCCUCGCCUCCACGACGCCGCCGCCGCCGCCGCCCUCAUCCUCUUCCAGCCAGCAGUAGCAGAAACCCUGCCGCGCCGUCGCGUCGUCAUCCCCCUCUCGUGCCUGCGCCUGGCGCGAGCCCCACCCGCGGCGCUCCGCCCUCCCCCGCGUGCACCGUUAAUGAUGCUAAUUACAACCAUUACACAUUAAUGGCUGCUAAUGGUGUAAUUUCACCAUUAAAUGGUUGUAAUGGUGCACCAUACACAUUAAACGGUUUAAUUACACCAUUAAUGGUGAAAUUACACCAUAAUGUGAAAUUACGACCAUUACACCGAUUAAUGGUGUAAUGGUGUAAUUACACGUUAUAUGGUGUAAUGGUGACCAUUACACCAUUAUGAAGAACGCCCGGCCAGCCGCGACAGCGAGCCCGCGCGAGGCCGCCGGUCGACGUGCGCCUCCUCGUGGCCAACCGGGACGGAGAGCGAGGCGUUGCGGUGCACCGCCCGCCAACCUCUAAGCCUCGGCGACCCAGACCUCCCCGUGCCUCCGCUCGACCCCGACGCCCGCCAGGCCGCCGCGCACCGGCCCGUGCGGCCGCGCGCCCCGAGCUCCGGGCAAGCCUCUGGCCGUCGGGCUCGGGCGCCAUCGCCGCUGGCAGAGCUUCGCCGCCGCGCAUCUGCCGCCGUUCGACGCGCCCCGCCACCCCCCGCCCGCGGCCUCGUUCGCCUGCGCCGCCCCCCCCGCCGCCCGCGCCCUCGAGAUCCGCCGGGCUACGGAAUCGACACCGCGGCAUCCUCGCCUUCUUCUCCCUCCCAAAACCCCUAAGCGUCUCCUCCCCCGGCCCCCGCACGGCCGCUGGGUGGCCUCUCCGGCGCCGCCACCUCGCCUCCCCACCUCGCCGCCGGGGGCGGCGGCGUCGCGACCGGGAUGCGCGAUGCUGCGGACAACCCGCGCACGCGUGCGGUACGGCCCCGACGCGGACCGUGGCGGUGAGCGAGGGAGGCGUCUCCUUCGCCCCGCUGUACUGUUUACUGCUUUGCUUCGGCCUUCUGCUUACUGGGAGAAGUCGAGGACAUGGUCGGAAGGGAAGAGGAUUCUGGAGAAACGAGGACAUUGGUCGGAGGGGAGGAGGCAGGGGCCUAUCAUCCAGGCAGAGCGGUAGCGCAUCUUCACUGCCGGCGGCGCCACCGCCGGCGCGGCGAGCCAUGCUUACACUCAGGCGGCGCCGGAGCUCCACCCGCGGCUCCCUCCGCGGGACACGUGCACCUAUAACGGUGUAAUUCACCAUACACCAAUUAAUUACCCACCUUACACCGAUUAAUGGUGUAAUGGAAUUACACCAUUAACGGUGUAAGGUUAACCAUUAAUGUGUUAAUUUCACCCAAUUAAUGGUGUAUGGUACAUCAUAUAAUAUGAUGCUAAAUGGUGCACCAUUACACUCAAUAUAAUGCGAUAUAAUUUACACCAUUAACACCAUUAGACGCAAUAGAAGAAGCCAGCCCCAGCACGCCCGCGUGCCCUCCCGCCGCCGCUUGCGCACCCGCCCGCUGAACCAAUUUACACCAUUACAAAGAGAAGCCGCCGGGCCGUCCGGAGAUCGCGACGGCGGCCGACGCCGCCCGAGCGGAGCGCCGCGCGGCCCGCGUGACCGCCGCCCUCGACCAGCGCGACGUCCCCGGCUGCAACACCCCGCUCCACCUCGCCGCCCGUCGCCCGCCUCCCGCGCGCCCCCACCCUCGCCGCGGCGCUCGCGGUCGCUGGUGCCGACCCCUCCCUGCAGAACGCAGCCGGGUGGACGCUGCUUGGCGAGGCCGGAAGUCGCCGUGGCGCGCCCCGUGCUCUUACAGGAAAAAGAAGAAGAAGAAGAAGAAGAAGAAGAGGGAAAAAAAAAAGGUGCUCCAGCAGGAGAAAGAAGAAGAACAAAAAGAAAAAGAGAAGAAAAAAUUGCUCCGCCUGGCUUCGCUUUUUUUUUCAGGCGGAAAAAAAAAAUGAGAGAACGAAGAGGAGAGAGAAAGAAGAAAGAGAAAAAGUAAUAAGGGUAUUUUGGUCAGUUUGCUGAAAAAGCGGACCGAAUCUGCAAAAACAAAAAAGGUGGCCCAAUUUUGCAAAAGUCCAAAAUAAGUGGAUUUUUUAUGCAAAUUGGCCUUGUUUCAUUGAUGUUACUAUAUAUAUAUAAAAAGAAAUAUUGACUCUAGAAAUAUUGAUUCUGAAAAAUAAUUCAAAUAACUGACUAUCUCUAGAAGUAAGUGGCAAAGAGUUUGGUGGUUGGUAUCCGAGGUCUUAAGUUGGAAUCCUAGUUGAUUCACAUUUCUAGCUAAGUUUAUUUCUAAAUGAAAUAAACAAAACAGGUAGCGUGCUACCUAUCUUUCAGAAAAAAAAAAGGGGAAAACUUUAAAAACCACCCCUGUGGUUUCGUAGUUUCUCACUUUGCCCCCCUGUGGUUUAAAAUGUAUCAAAUUGCCCCCCUGUAGUUUUAUUUUUAUCUUUUGGGUAGCUUUUUCGUUAAUAUUUCAUUAAAUUAUAUACAAAAAACUUCAGAUACCCAUCUAGAUUUAUCAAAAUAUUCACUUUAGUACCCUUUAAUUUUAAUUUUAUCAUUGAUUUAAGAAAAAAAAUAAUAAAAUUGAUAAGAAAAAGAGAAAAACGAAACCACAGAGGGGCAAAUUGAUACAUUUUAAACCACAGGGGGGCAAAGUGAGAAACGACGAAACCACAGGGGGUUUUUUUGAAGUUUACCCAAAAAAAAAAAAAAAAAUCAAAUAUUACCUUCCUGCUGCAUUGCUUGAGCCUCUUAGCUAGUUAACAACUAAACAAAAGAUAUAUCCCAAAUUAGUUAUGUUGUGCAGUCUAAGAUAGAGCAAAGUUAAAUAUGAUACAAUAUAAUAAUUUUAUAUUAAAAAAAUAUUUGAACAAUUUUUUUAAUACCUGUGUCUAACAUAAAAUUACUAAUUAAAUAUUGCUAUUUCUGUAUAGAAUAAUUAUUAUAUAGAAAAAUUUCUUAUACACCGUAUAUAGAAUAAUUGUUGUAAGAUAGAGCAUGCGUUUAUUUGCAAACUCUCAUAGGAACACCAUAUUACCUUUCCUUGCAGACAAAGAAGACAACAGAAGAUAACACAACUUCUUCUAAUCAACUGCUUGGAAUUAGAGAUGUCCAAAAUACGUGAUAUCUUGUAUCCAAUCUGAACCAUAUCUGAAUCUAAUCCGGACCCAGGUAUAUGAGUAAGAAAAAUUAUUCAUUGAAGUUUCGAAUAUGGGUUCGAAUACUCAUACCCUACUCGGACCCGAGUCAGAUCUAAUCCUUUGGUGGAUAUGGUCUAGAAUAGUUUUCAUUUCUGGAUCCGGACUUGGACCCAGAGCUGGAUCCAUUAAAAUGCCCGACCGUCAAAAAAAGUAAAGAGAAAAAAAAAAAAAAAAAGAAAAAGAAAACUUGGUAAUUUUCUCACUACAAUAUUUCAAACCUAUUAUGUAUGUGUUUUAAAGAUAUUGUAGUAUGUGCAUGUAUUUUAAAGAUAUUGUAGUAUGUACAUAUGUUUUGGACUUAUGGUAUAUGUUAUGUGACUAGUUAUAUAUAUUUACGCAAUUAUAUUAUGUAUGUUUAGACUUAUCAAUAUAAUUUUAAUUAUUACGUUGUUGUUGUUGUUGUUAAGUGUUCAGGUGGUGGUUUUAUGUAUUUUAGAGUAAUCAAUACAUAUAUAACUAUUGCAAAUUUUGUAUUUUGUGUUAAGCUUAUCAUGUAUAGAUAUAUAUUUUAUGCCAUAAAUACACAUAUGGGGUGCCUGUACCCAAUUUAGAUCCGCCCAUACCCCAAUAGUAAACGGGUAGUAUACGAAUAAUCUUUAUCUAGACCCAUUCAAAUAGAUCUGAUAAGUACAUUAGUAAUUUAAAUAUCUAAAUCUGUACCCACACCAAAGUUGAACGAGUAAAAUAAUUUUUUUUAUUUCUUAUCCAUUUUAUUAUUUAGAGUAUGUGUAUGAUAUAUAAACUAUUCAGAUCCGGCCAGAUCAACGGAUAUCUAUUCUCAGAAUCAUAAAUCACCGUAUAAGGAGUAAGACAAUAAACAGAGCAAAGAUAGAUUAAAGCAGCUUGUACGUUUGCAAAAGCAACGUACGGAGUGGUUAUUUGAUCAACAAAGCAUGCAAAACAGAGGUGAGACAUUCUAGUUGUACACCCAUCCUAAAAUUCACAAAAAUUUAAAUAAUUUUUAAUAAAAAUAAAAAAUUAAUGUGACAAAUAAAAAAUUAAUAAUUCUUACAUAAGUAGAUAUUAGAUAUAUACAUAGCAUUGGCAGAGUCCCCAAACGUUUGGAAAUAGAGCUUCCCAUAUAUGGUUGCACAAGGAGAACAACGUGCUUUGGACCUAAUUAUUGGCAUGUGAACACCCAAAUCAGGUACAAGUGAGAAGAAAGGCAAGCAACAAUACUAUUAGCCGUACACUCUCUACUCUAGGAAAAAUUUAGAAUGCAACAGAUAUAUUAAUGCAACUGAUAUAUUAAUGACGUGACAUAACAAGCCAAUCAAAUAUAUUUUUUAAAAAUAUGUCCCAUCCUGAUUAUAAAAAAUAUUUUUAUUGUGUGAUAGUAUAGAAUUCUUCCUGUUCUACAAAAUGUCUACUAUAUCUCACUUACACUAUAUCAUUAAUAAUUAAUUAAGUAUAUCUUUUAAAAAAUAUACUUUUAAUAAUCACGAUGAAAUUGAUGAAUUUAAUGAAAAAAUAAUUUUUUUGAUUGGUUUAUAACGGAUGCAUCUUUGACUUUUUCCCUAUUCUCUCUAGAGUGGGGGAAUAUAAAUUGAGAGAAAACAAAUGAAAACAAGGAGAGCAACAGAGAGAGAGAGAGAGAAUCAACCAGACGAAACCGCGCCUAUAUUAUAUUACUAAUAAAGUUAGGUACUUCCCUUCCAAAGUAUAUAGCUAAUUUCCUUCAUGCACGUGAAACAAGAGAACAUAGGUGGGUUAAUUCAGGUCCAUACCUAUAUUCCAAACUCAAACUAGUAUGUCUACACAAAAACAUCACUAGAUUCAGUUAGAUUUUUAUGGCUUCCACUAUUGUUUUCACAAAAGCCAAAACCCACAUAUCUACCACCACAAAAACUCAAGAAAAUUAGCUAGAAAUACUUAAAUAGCUCGCCACCUUCGUCUUUUGCGUUGCCACAACCUUGCUUAAAAGAGAAGCAGAUCCUGCUCCUGCUCAUUCUUCAACUAAGUUCACCAACUCAUACUCCACUAGGGACAAAUUGUUGUCCUCCCUCACAUCAAAGUUAGCGGGUUCAGCGACCUCCACCCGACCCCACUUGUCGACUGCCAGUCUCAUUGACCCCUUGAACAUAUCGAUUUUGGCAUUGCGAAGAAUUACCGUACUGCCCGGCUUCAACAGGUCAACUGCCAGAAGACGAGCACAAUAUUUUAAUAACAGCUAGUAUGCAUCAAGAUAUGAUCUAUAAAACAAGGAGAUAACAAACACUGCAUCCCAGAUUCUUUUGACCGGCUAUGUUGCAUAGACACAGAAAUAUACGAGAUAGCGAUACACGACGACAUGGAUAAGGCUAUAUGACAGACUCUCAAAAGGUAGGAAAUUAUAUACAUUGCAUACGGUACUUAAAAAAUUAUUUAAUUUUAGAUUCAUAUUCAUAUAUAAAUGGCAUAAAAUAUCACAUAGAUGUAAGAGAGAUACAAAGCAAUAACUCAACAGCCCAAGAAGAUUCUACUAACAUUUAAACUAAUUUGUUUAAAGGGACUAAUGGAAUGAGUCACCAUGUACCCCCCUCCCCCCCUUGUAACAAACCCCUUCCCCCCCAACCUGUAUCCGGCAAGUUUUUUUUCAUUUUCUGGAGAUGCAAAUAUUUCAUGGUCACAUCUGAUACAUAUAGUUUGUGUAUGCAUCGAAUAUCUGUGUACGAUAUGCAAUAGGUACUAUCAUGACAUGCAAAAUGAAUUACCUGUCCAUCCUAGUUGACCUAUUCGAGGAAAAGAAGGCAAAAAUAUCAACACAAUGCCAACAACACUUGGAAGUCAACUGGAACCAUGUAAAAGAUGGUCAAAAAUAACAAGUAUGCAGGCUCUAGAGAGUUUUUUAAGCAGUAUAAAAAACAAGUAAUGUGGAUGCAUAGGAGAGCAAUAUUCUAUCCCUUCUCCAUCUACAUGAAUCUGAGGAUUAAACAUUUAAGCACAAUCAAGCUCUCACGAACAUAAUAGGUCAACUUACUUUGUUUGAUACAAUAUGUCAAAAAGGACCUCCACAAGGCAAAUAUGCCCAGCUAAUUGCACAACCUUUAAAAAUCUGAUUUUACUAGUCAUCAUAUUUUUUUUCUAACUUGUGUUGAGCUCACAUCAUCUCCAUAGAUUCCUGCCCCCACACCUCAACAUAAAGAUAACUGACUUCUUCAGGGAACCUAACCGCCUGCCAUCAAGUAUUUCACUACCAUUCCUCUCAUAAAAGUCAGGCUUCUAUAUGACAUUUUCACCAAAGAUCUGCCAAACCAAAAAAAUUUGUACAAACUACAAAGAGUAGCUUUGCUUUCUCCUCUUUGACAUGUCUUAAUUGUUCGCAGUUUUCUAUAAACUUUGGCAAAUAUGAUAUCGCUUCCUGAAUAAUUACCUGCACUAUCAAAUGUAUAAGUAAAUAGCUCAUUAUUUUUUUUGCAUCUUUCUAUACCCCUCUUUGAGUUUGAAUCUAUGUGAGUAGGCGCACAUCUUUGAUGCACGCCCUCUAAUUCAAGUUUCAAAAUUUUGUUCGAAGUAGUACCUUUUUUUCCAUUUUGCUUCUACAAAAUUACAAUUGCUUUUGUGUAUCGAAUAACAAUGUCGGUCUACAAAAUUUAAACUGAUGCUUUCUUUGGCCUCACUUCUCUAUUGCUAUCAAUCCGAAUGACUAUUAAGACACACUCAAAAUGAGAAGUUAAUAUAAUAGGUUAGGUAACACCAACAGGUUCAGAUACCUAAGGGUUCAUCACACUUAUUGAUAAGUUGAUAAAGUAAAAAACAGUGGAAUUAAAGCAUAUUCAGACUUAAAUUGCAAGCCAAACAAUACUAUCUUCUUUCUCUAUUAACCCGACAACUAUAAAAUCACAACUUGAUGCAUAAACAACAGCAGGAAGAGCAAGCUCAAUUAAAAGAAUAGCUACAGCGCUGGCUCAUGCAUCAUGCAAGUCAUCCAAGUGAAUAAUUGUAAACUGCGGAUAAUGAUAAACUUUACACAUCCUUGCUACCAAGGACUAGUUUGUGAAUGCGUUCUCAAAAGGCAACCAUUUAAUUUUCUAAGGGACCAAAAGCAUUUCGAACCUUACCUUUUUCAAUGAAUUAAAAUGGUGGCAGGAAGUGCUUUCUUUGCCUUCAAUGGGUGGUUCACAUUAUCAUUUUAUAGUAUUAGAGAGAUAAGAUCUAAAAUAUUGUCAAAUUUUUUGACCUCUCUAGAGCAUCAAAAUGGUGCUUAUGAGUCAUGCAUUUUCAAACCGGCUGAACAGGUUAUUAGUACCCAAUCGAAGGAUCUCACAUAACCUGCUGUACCCCUAAGCAAAGUAAGACCUAGUUUGGGAUUGCGUUGCCAAUCACACCUGAAUUUAUCCUUUGGGAAGCCCAAAAAGAUUAAAAGUGCUUUAAAGCUUCCUUCUUUCAAUGCUUAGAAAAAUGGUAGUAGGAAUCGCCACUUGGAGAAGCAAAGAGUUUCUGGUUCUCCGGUAACAAUCCCACCAUCAUUUUAUGAUAUAGGAGGAGAAAAGUGUUGAAGGCACUUUUCAUAUUUUUGAGCCCCUCCAAAGAACUAAGCCCUAGUUUGUGAUUGAAUUGCCAAAAGCACCAACUUUCAUGUUAUGGAAGGUCCCAAAAAUUGAAAAAACGCUUUCAAUCUUCCCUCAAUAGUAUAAAAUUGCGGGGAACACCGCCAUUGGAAAAGUAUGUAACUGCUUGCUUCUCUGGUGGCAGUUCCCACUAUAAUUUAGGAUUGUGGUGAAGAUUUAGAGCGCUUUUUAAAUAUUUUGGACCUUUGAAAGCAUAAAAACAGGUGCUUUUAGCAACACAAUCCCAAACUAGGCCUAACCCAAGUGUGUUUACACACCUCUAUACCAAACUAAGCCUAAGCUUCUCUUUCCUAGUUUCCAAAUGUCCGAGACCAACAAUUACCCCGAUCGAUGUUCUACGAUAAUAAAUAUUGAAGAAAAACAAUAGCUUUGGGCCUUGUUUAGAUGUUGGAGUAGUUUAUUCGAUGAUAACUUAUUCGGCAUAGAGAUUUUCCUUUGUAAUUUGAAGAUCUGGAAAGCCUUGGCAUCUAUGAUUUGAUAGAAUAUCAUAUUUCACAUAAAAGGUGAUUUAUUUUUUCUGAAAAAAUGACUAAAAAAGCCAAAUAUUCUAUUCCAUUCUAAACAUUUGAACAUGCUCCUACAUCCAAACAAAGCACAAUUGCAACACCAUAUUUACGAAUCCAAAGCCCUUUGCACCCAAAGAACGCAAAGAAGGUAACGCCAUACAUAGAUUAGGGUUUUACCCUGCUCGUUCCGCGCGGUGAAGACGAUGGUCCCGGUCUCGUCGCCGACGAGGCACUCGGCGAUCCGGGUGCGUCGGAGGUUGGCGGAGGAGGGGGCGGCGCGGCCCUUGUGGAGGACCGUCUCUGAGCUCACCACCUUCACCGUGAGCGUGUGGCCGCUCGUGCCGGGCUUCAGCUGAUCCACCUUCGUGAACACCGGCUUCCUCAUCGCCGGCUUCGCCGGUACUCCUCCAGGACCCUCCGCCGUCGCCAUUGACACCGCUGGAGGGGAAACCCUAACCCUAGAUUGGUAGUCCUGGGGAGAAGCGACGGAGACAAUGAAGAGGAGGUAAAACCCUAACCCUAGAAUUUCGCAGGCCGAGAUGAGAGUUAAAUUACUCUAUAUAGGUAGAAAUGUAUGGACGCCUCCUCAACUAUAGGCCAUAGUGUAAUACAGCUCUCAACUUCUCUCUAUUUUUCCUUUUUUCUUUUUCUUUUUGACAAAUCUACGCUAAUAUUAAAAAGGACCAAACUUUGCACUUUUUUUUACUCUGUUUUCAAUUUUAUUUUAUUUUUUUUUUUGCAUUCAAGUCUGCAAUCUCUUAAUUUUAUUAUAAUUAAAUUACAGUCGUCAGAAUGGGUGUUAAAAUUGACGAAAAAUAUUAUGUUAGCGCCACAGAGGCACUCUGUCAGCACCAGCUAAUUAUACAAUUUCAGUUUAAAUUUUAUAUUAUAAAUUUAAAUUAUAUUUUGAAUAAAAUUAUAAAUUCAAUGCUAAAUUUUUUAUUUAAGAUUUAAAUUUUAAAUUUAAAUUUUGAUAUUAGAUUCAAAUUUAAAUUCGAAUUCAAAUUCUGAUUUUGUAUUUAGUUUUAAAUUAAAAUUCACAAUUUUAAUUUUAAUUACAGUUUGAGACUAGAUUACACCAUUUGAAAGAAAGAAAAAGAAAAAAGAAGAUGAAGUUGCACUGCUCGAGAAUAAAUUGCACUGCUUGAAAUAAAAUUAUAUCAUUUAGAAUAAUUAUCUUAAAUAGUGCAACUUAGUUUCAAACAAAAUUCCAGCAUCUUCCACUUCCUCGCCCGUGCCCACAUAGGGAUGUCGAUGGGUAUGGAUACCUGAAAUUUUAUCCGAACCCGAACACGAAUGAAACGGAUAUAUCCGAUGAAUAUGGAUAUGGAUUCCAAUAUGGAUAUCAAAAAUAGAAACCCGACGGAUAUGGAUUCGGAUAUGAAUUUUGAUUGUACCCGACCUGAACCCGAACCUGAACCUGACCCGAAUCCGAAUUUAUUUUGUAUUAUAUAUAUAUAUAUAUAUAUAUAUUUGAUGUUAUAUUUGAAUUUGUAUUUUAAAAAUUUAAGUUUAAUAUAAUAUAUUUUGAAAUAUUGAAAAAAGAAAUAAUUGUUUCGGGUUCAAAUUUUCGGGUUCGGGUUCGGAUUCGGGUUUCGGAUUUUUUGUCAGAUUCGGGUUUGGAUAUGGAUUUUUAAAAUCCGUCGGGUUCGGGCUCGAAUUCGGGUCUCGGGUUUGGAGUCGGGUUCGGGUUCGGAUUUUUAAAAAUCCGCCCCGAAUCCGACCCGUUGACAUCUCUAUGCCCACAUACUCCCCGAGUUCCAUUCCCUCCACCGCCACCUCCUCCUCCACCCCUCAUCCUCUUCCGCCUCCUCCUCCGCCCCUGCGGCUACCGCCGUCCAUCUAUCUCCCAAUACUAAACUCAUGCUAACCCUAAUUUAAGGGGCAUUGCUAGGUUUGUAAUCCAUUUUUGAUUGUAAUUCUACAACUUGAUAAUCAAGAGGCUAAAUUUACUAUACCAGUCUUAUCAAAAUUUUAUUUUAACUAAAACCAAAAUAGGAUUGGCGAAAUUCUUGAGGCGCUUGGAUAAGGGGUUAUAGGGAUUAUGAUGUCUCUUUGGUUGGAGACUUAGCAUUUCUAAUUCUCAAGUAUAUACACCUUUCGUACUCUCAGGCCUUGUUUGGUUGGGGAAUAAGGGUGAGGAUAAGGGGUUAUCCCCCCCUUGUUCUCCAAACACUACAUUUAAAGAUGGGAAUAGCUUGUUCCCACCCUUGGGUGGAAUAGGGGUGGGAACAAGCUGUUCCCACCCUUUUUGUUAAAAAAAUUUUAAAUUUUUAAAUUUUUAAUUUAAUUUUAAUUUUAAAAAAUUAUGAUUUGUAAUUUUAUAAUUAAAGUUUAUAAUUUUAAACUUCAAAUUUCAAAUUUUAAUUUAAUAUUUAUAUUUUUUAAAUUUAAAUUUUGAUAUUUAUAUUUUAAAAUUUAAAUUUGAUCUUAAAUUAAAGAUUUUAAAUUCAAUUUUUAAUUUUAAAUUUUAAAAUUUAAAAGUUGAGAGUUUAAUUUUAGAUUUUAAAAUUUAAAAGUUAAAAUUUAAAAUUUAAAAAUAAAAAUAAAAUAUUUAAAAAUUUAAAUUCAAAUAUAAUGAGAGAUAAUAUUAUUUUUCUAUCUAUAACUACUCACUAUCCUUCUUAUUCCAUCUUACCUAACCAAACGUUGAUUAACCAAUUUUUAUCCAAACACAAAAUUGAUUUAAUCUCCGCUUAUACCUCAAUUUAUACCUAUUCCUGGAAUAGCCACUUUUUACUUAUCAACGAACCAAACGAUGCCUCAGUAUACACUAAAGUAACCAUUUCGUACACAUAACCUAACAUAAGCUAUAUAUAGGGUUUGCAGACAAGCGAGUCGGUUUGCGUUCGGCUUGCAUUCAACUCAGUAUCCGGCUCACUUGAGGUAGGCUGGUCAAUAAUGAGCCGAGCUUGAACAAAGAAAAAAACUCAAAUUAAUUCAAGUUAGUUUGAGUAUUGUUGGGCUGGCUCGAAUUAGGCUUACAAAGCUCAAAUAUGUGUAUACUAGUGUAGGGCCUGCACUUUGCGACAGAUAGAUAGUAUUUCAGACAAUUUAAAUAUUUUAAUUUAUAUAAAUUUUAACAAAUUUGUUUAAUUAACUAAAACUAAGCAUAAAAAAUUAAAAAUUAUUAAAAUUAGUUAAAAAAUAAUUUGGAUUGCUUUGUCUAUUUCAAAGCGUGUAAUAGUUGAGCGGGUCUGUACACAUUUUUUUUACCAAAAUUUUUUAUGGUGAAAAUGGUUAGAGGCUUCCUAAACUUUUAAUUUUUUAACUAAACAAUUUUAUCAAAAAAUUUAUAAAUUUAUUAAAUUCAUUAGUAGGUUCACCAAAUUUAAUAAUUUAUUUUAAUUUAACUAAAUAUAAAAAGGAAGGAGGAGGAUAGUCAUUUUUUUAUAAUUUAAUUCUUUCUAUUUUCUUGUUCUAUUUUCUCCUUCUCUCUCUUUUCUUUAACUUCUUCCUCAUAGAGUCACAGUAAAAUUUUUCCAUUUUCCCCUUCCCUUUAUUCGACAUAAGAUGAGAUAAGAUGGGACUGCUAGCUUCAACUUUGGCUUUGGCGCAAACAGAGGUUUGGGGGGCAACAACUUGAGGCGCGUUUAGCGGCGAUGGCCAGGGACGCGGCAGGGACGACGUCCUCUUGGCGCGGCAGCAACCCCCACCCCCCGAAAUUCCCCAACCAAACAAGGUUUUAAAGUUUUACAAGAUUAUAUACAAUACAAAUGAUUAAAACAAUUAUAUAAUUAGUAACUUCGAUUGAGGAGAGAGAGAGCUAUUGAACUAUUUAAAAAAUUUAAGGGAUCUAAUUGGUCAAAUUAAAAGUGCCCGUUUGCCAAAGCGAUAAAGUUUCAUAAGCCUUUGUACACUUUUACCGUGAAGUAGUUUUUUUUUAGGAUAUAAUAUAUUAAGGCUGCGUUUGGUUCGGGUAUAAGUGAGAAUUGUUUGUUCUAGGGAUAUGUACAAGUUCAGAUAUAAGUAGGAACUAGACCAAUUUUGCGUUUGGAUGAAAAUUUGAUUGUUCCUAGGAAUAAGAUAGAUAGUAUUUGGAUGGUUAGAUUAGAACAAAAUGAAUAAGAGUUAUAAUUUGAAAUUAAAAUUAUAUUAUCUAAUUAGUUAAUAUCAAAAUAUUACUUAAAAAUAAAUAAUAAAUAAAUUAUUAAUAAUUAAUUAUAAAUUAUUAUUAUUAUUAUUAAUUAUUAAUAAUUAAUUAUAAAUAAUAAAAUAAUAAUAUCGAUUAUCUAAUUAUUAAUAGUCAUAAUUAUUAAUAAUUAUGAUUAAAUAAUAAUUAUUAUUAAAUAAUAAUUAUUAAUAAUAAUUAUUAAUAAAUAAUUAUAAAUAAUAAAUUAAUAAUAAUAUUGAUUAUCUAAUUAUUAAUAAUUAUUAAUUAAUAAUAAUAUCGAUUAUCUAAUUAUUAAUAAUAAUAGUUAUUAAUAAAUAAUUAAUUAUAAAUAAUAAAUUAAUAAUAAUAAUUAUCUAAUUAAUAAUAAUUAAUAAUAAUUAAUAAAUUAUUUAUUUAUUUUAUUAUUUAAGUAAUAAUAAUAAUUUAAAUAUAUUAAUUAGAUUAAUUAAAAAUUUACUGUCAUUAAAAUUAAAUUUAGACUUUAAUUAACCUUGUUCUCAUCCGGAAACAAAUUAACUUGUUCCAGGAAAAAGGGGAACAAGGGCUUAUUCCUCCCCUUGUUCCCGAGCCAAACGCAGCCAAAGGGUUUGUUUCAUUCAUAUUAUUUUUUUACGGUUCCUUAUAAUCCAACAAGUUUAAAGAAAAUAUUAUGGUGUUUGGCUAAUUACAUCAAGUAAUGUUAUUAGUGUUGGGUUCAUUUGGAAAUAAAAUUUAUCCUAUAGUAAUAAUCUUUUUUUUUUAAGAGAGGGUAGGUAUUCUCGUAAUAAUGGAUUGAAAUAAUCAUCAAAUUUCUAACCCAAUCCACUCUUUUUCUCCCUCCCCACCCACCGGUCAUUUGCUGAGAUGUCCACCACCUGCUUUUCUUUUUUACUCUCUAACCUCAUCUCUCUCUAAAUCUAAACUCUUUCCUUCUUCCUCUAACUUCAUUUCUCUGUCUCUUCUACUAAUCUCCACUCUAUCUCUUUCCCUAUAUCUCUAAUUGUACUCUCUUUUUCUCUAUGCUUUCUCUCUCCCUCCCUCUCUGUGUAAUCUCAACUCUCUCUCCCCCUCCCUCUAACCUCACAAUUUUGUUACCCCCACUCUCUUUAUCUCUCCACAUUCCUAAUUUAAAAACUCUCUCUUUCUCUCUCUCCCCCUCUCCCUCUCUCUAAUCUCAACUCUAUUUCUUUCUCUCUCUAAGCUAACAAAUUCCUCAUGAUUGUUGAAUAGAAAAAAGGUGUUUACAUUGCUGCUAAUAUUAUCUAAAUUUAAUUGCAAAAAAUAAACACAUUAAUUUUAUAUUUUUAGUAAUAUUAAAUAAUAUGAUUGUGCCAACUAAAUAUUAGAAUACCACAUUCUCAGUAAUAGGUUGAGUAGGAGUCAAAUUCUUGAAAAUUUCUUUAAUCCUUUUAUUCCUGAUAAUCUUUUCUUACGGGAACCAAACAAGCCUUAAGAUUCAAUAGAGUAAACAAGACUUAGUGCAAAGAUCAUUAUUUAUUUUUAAGCUAAAUGAUUAAAUUUUCUCCAGAACCAAAAGGUUACUUAAGUCCCCAGAUGAGCAAAAGUCCCUUCAACUCCCAAGAAAUUGUUUUAUUUAAGUUUGACUAUAGCAGCUUCACCACACUUAUCUCCUUAAACCAUACUGGAUAAUUUCUCUACCUAAGAUUAGAAAUGCAAUUGAUCUAAACAUUGAUUGUGACAUGAUUUGUUUUUUUAAUUUUCUCCCCCCUCUUUUGAGUUAAAACCAAUGGGCAUUGACAAACCAAAAAUUGUUAGUUUUAAUUGUUUAAAAUAGUGAUUUAAAACUUGAUUUUAGCCCAUGGGCUUCCUGGGCAGCCCAACUCUCUAUGGGCCUUGCAUGGAAGCCUGUGCCUUAGUUUCUACAUGAGGAGUUUAGUCCCAUAUUGGAAAGCAAAGAUAUGUUGUUAUACUUUAUAUACUCUCUUACUCUCACCUUUAUUACUUGGGAGAAUAUGAGAGUGAAGCUUUCGACUAAACACACGCACGGCACGAGCCGGGCCGGGCUGCGGCGCGCGUCAACCUCGGGAAGGACCCUAACGAGAUCAAUCUGGAUCUUGUCCAGAUUUGGUCUUGGUCUCAUCUCGGGAAGGUGCCAGAUCUUGGUCAAAGAUCCUCCUUGGACCAUAUUCCCGUUGGACCAUUCCAUAACCUGUCCUAUAUAAAGAGAGGUGCAUUUGUGCAUAUACAUUGUGAGCCUUAACCCGAGCUUGCAUACUCUUGUUCAUCUUCUCUUACACUGAUCUUUACAUCAUCUCAUCACUGAACUAUACAUUGCCAUUUUUGCUGGAUCUUUGAAAGCUCAUACAGUUCCCUGAAGACGUGCCGACGGGGUGGACAGCGGUCGUUGUACGGGGUGGACAGCGGUCGUUGUAUCGCUAGGAGUGAUUGCCGGAGCCUCGUACGUGAAGGGGCAAUCUUGCUUCUAGGACAGUGCUUUCGCAUGCCUCGACUCACAGACUUCAUCUGAUCUUUUAAUCUUCAUAGCAUUAACUAUUUAAGUUUUGCUUAAGGUUUUUAAAACUGAAGUUAAAUUGUUUUCAUUCAAAAUUGUUUAUAAAGAUAUUUUACUAAAGAUUUUAGAAAGAGAAUAAUUUUUCCAACAAAAAUAAAGAAUCACAAUGUUUGCCUUUCAUCAUCAAGCCAUAAGAGAGGGCAUUAGAGAAUCUACUGUUCCAUAUCCAACAUGAUUUAUGUGAGUGAGAUUGGAGCUGUUUGCAAGGCUGAAUAGAGUAAAAAGCUUUUCGAUGAGAAUACGUGCGGAGUUUCCCUGUAAGUCUUUAAAGGCCAGUAGUUUGUUAGAGAAAAAGGAGUACAACAAUUCGAGAUACAUGAUGAGAUGAGACAAAAAGUAGCACAGCUUAGUAGAUAGCUCUAGCACGGAUGCACGGAUGAGAUAAAAUGAAGUGCUGAUAGAUGUUGUGAUGCACGAACGUAUAUGUAGACGCACUAGGUGCAUGCUUUCUUAACGUCGUGAGUUGUUGGGAGGCAGGAAUUACAGCAAAGGUAAUCGGCAUGGGGUUAUCAGGGGCUGCAGUUCAGGGAUUUCGUGGUUGUUCGUUCACUGUCACCAAACUGCACAGUCGACUUGCUUUCUGAAACAACCGACUUUUCUACGAGCAUAAGUUAUAAAGAAUGGCGUUUUAGCGUUUAUAUACUUUAACACACCUCAUACUUGGUUUGAAUUGGCAGAUCCAAGACAGGAACCCUGAUAGGAGUUGAAUUGAUUAGCUCUAGCUAUAAUAUCAUGAAAAAAGAACUAGUCAACAUAAUAUCAUGAAAAAAGAACUAGUCAACAUUAUUUCAAGCUGUAUACGAAAUCAAACAGCUAUAUCAUUAACUAGAUCUCAGUGCAGCUGCUGCUACAUGUAAUCAAGCAAUCAAGCAAUCAAGCAAUCAAGCAAUUGAAGGGAUUCUCAUGCCUCUAUUGCCGAUAUUCUUCUUAUUCAUGUCUAGGUUCGUAGAUACACACAUUACUACAGAUAUGUAGGCCCAAGCAAGACCAACAUCAGGUGCUCGAUCUUUUUUGUGGAGUUUGCUCAGAGAAGUUGCAUCAUUUGCAAAGCUUACUCAACCAACACCAUGGCUUGUUUCUGCUCCUCUUCUUCCAUUUCCGUGUCACCAUUCUCUUCUUCCUUACGGAUUGAUUGUCGUUGAUGGUGGUAACGUAAUAUCACGACAGAAACAAAUGCUGCACAAUGAAAAAAGCAUUAGCACGUUCUCCAUAAUAAGUAGAGCAAAUGCAUACUAUCCGACAUAUGAAUGCAAUGCUUAUUUAAUAGGUCUAUCUCUUGUGUCUUAACUAAUCAGACAAUAGAUAAGAUUUUCCAUGUUUGUUUUAGCCCUUCACUGUUGGCAGGUUCAAGGAAUCCAAAAUGUGUUUUGCAUAGCAAAGUUGAUCAGAUUUACUACAACCGCUUUAUCAAGUAUCAAUACGAAUUAUCGCUUUGUCAAAUUUUACUGCCUUUCAUCAUUACCAUCACUUGAUGCAUUCGAGAAAAAAAAAAUCUUGUUUACUUUUCUUAUCACAGGGAAUUCAAGUUCUGUGAAUAUUUAAAUACAAGAUUCCAGGAUAUGAAAAAAAGUCAGAGGUAUGUCUACUAGACUGCUGCACAUAAAAUGGAAUAAUGAAUUGUUGACUUGUAUAGUGAACUGCACAUGCACUACCGUUUUAAUCUCCAUAUCUGGUUGAUUAUUGGAAAAAAGAUCUUUUAUAUUUAAGGAACAGUGCAUGAAUUAAUAGCAAAAUCCUGAAGUCACUUAUUAGGUUUUGUGCUCAAGUGUAACCACCAAAUUCUAGUAGAAUUCGAGUGCGAAAUGUAAAAACUUUUUUGAAUAUAAAUCAAAGAUUUCUAGCUACGAAUUGUUUGUCGUACCUGCGAUAAUCCGAGUCUUGACACUAAACAAGUUCCAUAACAUUGUUGCGGCCGAUGCGGCUACAAAUCUCUUGCGCGGGCAUGAUUUCCAUGCUUCCAUCACCCAAUUGCUUGCAUUCUCAACUGAUAUAUUACAAGUAUGCACCAUUAUCCAAGGUUUCAAAUGCAUUCAUCCUCUAUAUUGUAUUAAUUAACAACGGGCAACUUCUUUUACCUCUCCUAUGAAUCUGCUCUGUGUAGCAAGUGUAGAGUUUCGGAAUAGUGAAGCUCAAGAAAAACCCUGCAAAAUUUCAGAAACCAAAAUGAACAUCAGGAGCUCUCACCUUUUCACCAAUGUAAUGCGGCGUAUUAAUAGGAUAUUAUCAUGGUAAUGUCUAGUUGAACUAUACCUGCUGCUAAAAGCCUCCAAAAGGUUAUCAGGUGACCAUACUUGGCCCCGAAAAGAAGAAGAGGUAACACCUGAUAUUAGAGAUAAAACUUCAGUAAUUCUUGAAAGUUUCCACUAAAGUGUAGAUUAAUGGAAGGCUGAGAAAAGUUUGAAGACUCACUUUGAGAGUCAUCGAUGGCUCACCGGAGAACAUCUCUCGAAUCUUCGACAUGGCGGCAUUCGCAAUAGGUAGUAUUACACGGGCCGCGCGGACGAUAUCUUCUUCUUUCAACUCAAAGCUCCCUCCCCAUUUUAUCUGCUGCCUAUAAAUGAAUGAGACUUUCAAAUCAUUAAGUUCAACUUUUCAUCAGGAAUGUGUACAGAGGAAAAUUUUGAGUAGAAAAGAUUAAGUACCUCUGGGGCACAGAAUCUCUGAAGAAGGCCAAGCCCAAAAUCAGAAUACCCAGGUGACAAAUUGCGGAGAUGAUGCUGCAAAUAGCCCCCAAAAUCUUAAUCUAAGAACAAUUCCGCGUGAGAAAUAUUCUUAGUAAACACAAAUUGCUCGUACCUGAAGCUAAAAUCUUUGGAAAAUGAAGACGACAAGAAGAACAUCGACCCGAAACCGAACCAAAGAGACGAUUUCGCGACGUUCUUCCACAUUAUCAGUUCCAAAAUCCUCUCCCACAAACCUUCUACUUUUAUUUGUUUGUCGUGAGAAAUUACUUCUGCAUUGCAAACCGAUGUCAUCAGCAUUAGCUCAAAACUAAGAAAAAUUAAAUCAAGAACCAAAACAUUUUGGAAUAACCCAUGAACCUUCAUAAGAUCUUCACUUACUGGGCAAUGGACUCGGGAUCGGAGAAGGCGCCGAAGCCGCCAGAUCCAGCUUCUCUUUGAUCGCCACCUUGGUCCUGCUCUGCUUCCUCCUCCUCACCCUCCCAAGCUCAUCCUCCCCCCCAUGGCCCAAUUCCCUCUCAUCUCUAGCAAUAUCCUUCUCAAGCCUGCGCCGAGCCCUUCGAGCGUUCCUCGGCGACGCGCAACCGAUGAGCCCAUUGGCGGCGGCGGCGGCGGCGGCGGCGACCGCCGCCCUGCCCUUCCCUCUCCGGCGAGGCGUCGGGGUGGGGGCGUCGAGGCUCUCCCUCGGGGGGCGGCGGUGGGGGGAGGGGGAGAGGAUGAGGAGCUCGUGGAGGGAGAUGGGGCUGCGGCGGGUGUGGUUGGUGGCGAGGUGGAGUGGGGACGGGGAGAUUGGGGAUCUUCUUGGUUUUGAGUGAGGAGGGGAGGAGCGAGUGUAAGGGGGAGUGGAGGGGGUGGGGGACUCGUCCAUGGUGGGUUGGUGGAGGAAGAAGAAGAAGAAGAAGAAGAAGAGUUGAGAGAGAGAGAGAGAGAGAGAGAGAGAGAGAGAGAGAGAGAGAGAGAGACGAGGAGGAGGAGAUUUAGGGGUUAUGGUGGGGGAAUUGUUUGGAGAUUUUCUCGUUUGAUGUUGGGACCGGAAUAUAGCCGUUGGAAGAGGGAAGGAAACUCUCUGUUCUUUAUUAUGAUUUUGGUGGGCUUGUUUAAUGAAGGGGGAAGUUUUGAAUUGAGGAGAGAGCGAGAGGGCCAAAGAAAAGGGGGAACAGCAUCAAACGGCUAGGAGAUGCAUUGACUCAUGAGAAAUUGUUGCCUACACCAGGUGUAUGAGUAUAUCCGUACAUAUUAUGCACCAGACAUGCAAAUGCCUAUCCGGUAAUAACUAGUGGGUCCUGUUUGAACUUGAGAAUAAUUUUUUCGGAUAUAAAAAUUUUCUUAUAUCAUUUGCCAGUAAAAAGUUUAAUUUUUUAUUUCUUGAAAGACUUUUGUGCUCGUGAUUUAGAAGGAUAAUAUAUGUUGUCUCACAUUCGAAAUAAGAUAUUUAUUUAUCCAAAAAAUACGACUAUAAAUAAUAAUAAAAUGAGGAAUGCUUCAAUACACCGGCUAAAUUAAAUCUAGCCGUUCAUAUUUUAAGGACGAGAUUGACUUUUGCAUAAUAGUUACCUGCUCAGCAGGCUACCAUUCAUAAGGGUAAUAUGAAAAAGUAAAUACAAUCUGAUUACCAAAUUUGAUUAAUCCUAUACAAAUAUUUGUUUCCUUAUUUAAUUUUGUUACUUACCAAAUCAGAUAGUGCUAAUUUGAUAAGUAAUAAACCUUUAUAAAAUUGAAUUUAAAAUUCAAUUUGAGCUUAAACUUUAUAAUUGUGUACAUUAAAUUCAAAUUUAAUUUUAAUGUUAAUUUUCAGAACGAAAAAAUUUAUGAUUAAAUGAAUAGUAUAUUUCAAUUCAAAUUGUUAAUUUGAUAUUAAAAUGACACGAAAUUUCAAAUAUAUUAACUUAUUUUAAAUUGUAAAUUAUGCUGUAUUUAUAAACAUAACUUUUAUUAUUUAUUUAAAUUAAAGGCUUCUAUUUUUAAAAUUAAAUUUAAAUUGUUCAUUCGAUAGUAAAAACAACAUUAAAGUUUAAAAAUAUUGAUUAAAAUUAAAUUUUUAAUUUAGAUUUAGUUUAUAUUAUAGUUAAAAAAAUAAAUUUUGUUAACUAUUUAAACUAAACGAUUCUAUGUUUGAAAAUUAACUUUAAAUUAUAAAUCUGAAUUUAAUUUUAACUAGUAUAAUUUCAAAUUAUCUUUAAAAAGGCUUUUAGUUUGUUUAAAUUACACAUUAAGUUUAUUUAACUUGGAUCAUUUAUUCAAAUGGUAUAACUUAUCUUUACAUUGUCAAUCUGUAAUUAAAAAAGUUUUACUGUCUCUGUAUGGUUUAGCUCAUUUUUAUUUUGGCAUUCCAUGGUCUAAAAAAUCACUCUGCGCCAAUUCAAAGUUUAGCGCAUUUUUCACUUCGCCACCACAUUAUUUUUUAAAAAUUUUACUUUACCGCCUAUUUUGACAUAGGAUUUUUUGAUAAAAUAAAAAUUAAAUUAAUUAGGUUAAUAUUACACUGAUUGAGCCAUCCAAUCAAAUAAUUAUAACUUGAACAAUUAACUUCGGAUCGACUAUCCAUGUUCAAAAGUUAAAAUAUUAAUAUAUUACAUUCUUUUUAAUUGAAUUUUAGCUUUCACCGGCCAAUUUCAAUUUAUUAAGAGUUUUGUUUUGAAGUUUGACCACAUCAACUUCAACUCAUCAUUCAGCCAUCUAAAUUGGAGCGUAAGGCUCGAUGCAAUAAUUUAGAAGAUUUGAAUAAAAUUGGACAACCAAAGUAUUAUGUUUCUUAUAAUUUGAGAAAAAAUGUGUAAUUUGUUCUGAGACUUGUAAAGAUUAUAAAAGUGUUAUUUAUUUUAAUUAAGGUAUUGAACUGAAUUUAUUAGUACUAUUGAUCACAAAGUCAAAUACAAAAUUUUUCAAACAUUCACUUGGGGAUAAUAUUUUAUAUUCAAUUACUUAGAUGGAAAAAAUGAACUGUGACUUAAAAAUUUUAAGUGUAGAUUAGUUAUUAAGCAAUGGACAUGAAUUUCUCUCUCAAAAAGCUUCGGAGGAAGAUGUCUGUGAGUGAAAACUUUCCAAAAAUAGAAUGUAAUAUUUUAUAAUUACUAAAGGGGCAUUAUGGGAAUGAAAAUAAAAAUUUACAAAAAAAUCCUUCAUAUUACUUUUACAUAUGAGAAAAUAGUUUGCCCUUGAUAAGAGGGUGACUGGUAUCUACGGCAGUAAAAGUCAAUCACCCUCUUAACUAAAAGACACCUCCACCAUUCAUUUUAAAAAAUUUAAAGGUCGAGAUUUUUUUGGUGCACAGGAGCAUUGCUCUAAAAAAAUUUCAUGUAAGUACAAAUUAGGAGUUUAAUUUUGACUUAUUAAAAAGUAUUAGCAUUUGUGAUUUGAUAGAAUUGUGUACUUAACCUGCAAGUUGAUUUUUCUUAUUAUGAGAUAUUUGCAAGUUGAUUUUUCUUAUUAUGAGAUAUUGGUUCGAAGGUUGAAUAUAGUAUAUCUUUUCAAAUAUUUGAUGAUGUUCUUAUCUAGCAUACAGCAUACGUCUCCAAGAUCUUAACAAGUUAAUAUUUUUUUUGAGAGAUAGGUACCAUGUUAUUCUUUUCGUUUAUUUCAUUUAAAAAUAAAUUUAGCUGAAAAUGUGAAUCAAUUAGGAUUCGAACUUGGGUCUUCGAGUACCAACCACCAAGUUGUUUGCAGGAUUCGAAAUUGAGUUUUCGAGUACCAAUCACUAAAUCUUUCGCCACUUUCACUAGAAAUGUUAAUACAUCAAAAUAUAUGCACCAGCAUAGGAUAAGAAAUUACACUUUAUUCAGGUCAGCUGUUCAUUGAGCACGCAUCUGAUGAUACAACGUUAAAUCCAUGAUGCAAAAUACAAAUAAGAGAUUAAAAGGAUCUCAACGGCGCAAGAAACAAAAUUAAAAAAAUGUUACAUGUACACCAUUUUAUAAGAUUACACUUUACUCAUAUGAGGAUUUAAAAACUCUCUUUUGACUUAGUAUUAUUAAAAAUAGUUGAUAAAACAACUGAGUAAAUUUAAAUCUUUCAAAGCCUAAAUUAUAAGAUUACACAUAUAUUAUAAGUGUUAGGAUAACAUUGCUCAAAAAGAUUUGGACAAAAGGAAUUAAAAAUGUUCUUUAAAAGGAAAAAUCUCAAAACAGUCCCCUUUUGCGUAUCUGAUACAACUGCAGGUUAAUGUGCCCUUUGCAUAGGAUUGGCAAAUGAGCCAGCCGGCUCGCGUUUGGCUUGAUAUUCGGUCCGCUCAAGCUCGACUCAAAAUUAAAUAAACUGAGCUUGAAGAAAAAAUAAAACUUGAAAUAUAUUUCAAGCAAAGCUUGAGUAUUACUGGACUCACUCGAAUGAGGCUCGAAAAGCUCGAAUAUAAUAAAAAUAUUUAUAAAUAUAUAAAUACAAAUAUAAUUAUAUAUAAUAUAUAUUUUAAUUAUAUACAAUAAUAUAUAAUAUCUAUAUUAAUUACAUGUAUAUAGAGUUUAAGUUAUUAGACAUAUUUAUUGGCCCAUAAAAUCAACCAGCAAAUUCCUACUCUAAUUACUCUCUCCCCGUCUUUUUCACUUGCUUGCAGUGUCGCUUCCUCUAAAUUAUUUUUCUUAGUAUUAUGAUACUGUAUUUCAUACAUUUAUUUUGUAUUUUGAACUAUUAGACAUAUUUUUAUAUCAAAUUUUAGAUUAUAUAUAUAAAAAUUAAACUAUAAAUUGCAUGAUUUAAGAAUUUCAAAUGGUUCCUUUAGAGCUCGAACUCGCUUGACUCGAAGUUAAGCUCACUCGAGUUCAGCUCGAAUUAAUUUCAAGCCGAGCUUGAGCCUAAAUUCAAAAUUAAUUUCAAGCCAAGCUUGAGGUAAGAUAAUCUCGCUCAAGCUCAGCUCCUUUCCACCCCUACCCUUGCAGAGUGCCUUGCACAAUACAGAUCAAGCAUAUGAAGCGUAAAUAAAGUUUACCCAUAAAAGGAUAUCUAAAACAUUUUCCGGGUUGAUAUGGGAUACCUGGGUGAUAUUUACGUGGGAAGAUUUAAUAACACCCUUUCAUAUCUUGUCCUAAAAAAAAAACUAGUAAUGACCGUUAUUUAUCAUCUUAGUUGCAAGGCGGUCAAUAUUAUACCAACUUGCUCAAUCUGUAUCAGAAAUUGCAGCAGAUGAAAUCCUGAUGCCAACUUCUGAUACUACAGGAACUCAAGUACUCAACCAAUGCCUUUUUCUAUUUUUUUACAAAAGGAACUUCAAGAACCUAAUUGACUUGCAGAGUAAUCUGAUUAGCAACACCAUAAGCACUAUCAAAAGGUAUAUACAGAAGACAAGUUUAAAAGAUAAUAAUUUCAUAUAGGUUCCUACAAAUAUAGUGAAUGACAAAUAUAUCACUAUAAAGUUCAACUUUUAUAUAUUGUUCCUGCAAAAGUUUUGAUAUUUUCAAAUAUAUCUCUGCCGUUAGAAUUCGUUAGAAAAAUUUAGUUAAUCAUAUAUUAAAUAUUUAACCCCGGUUAAUUUUUGAUAUUUUUAUCCCUCUUAUAUUAUACUGUUAUGGCUUUCGGAGGACAUAUUUGUCAUGACAAAAUUGAAAAUAUAAAUAGUUUUCUAACGGUCCUCUAACGGUAACAAACCAGAGAGACAUAUUUGAAAACAUUAAAACUUUUGUAGGAACAACAUAUAAAAAUUGAACUUUGUAGUAAUAUAUUUGUCAUUCACUAUAUUUGCAGAGACCUGUAUGAAUUAACCCUGGGAACUUGCAUUCACUACAUAAAUAUAUAAAAAGCACAAACUGGAACACGGAAGAGUCACCAGCCUUUCUGAAAAAUACACAGUAAAUAACUGCUAAUAUUGAUUGCACUCCAGAGUCAAAUAGGGAAUAGCACAAGAAAUUAAACAUAGGAAUAAUCCUUUUAUGCAAAGUAAAUCACGAUAAUACAGUUCUUUAACAACAUCCUCCUCAUUCGUAAGGAACACGAACCCUUUCUGGACCUUCCCUCAGGUCCUCCCAAAGCAAAUCAGAGAGCGCGAGUGUUAGUUUCCCCACUUUUCCUGCACAAAAGAAGCAAAUGUUAAUCUUAUCAAAUGGAACCGAGAGCAGACUAAGUAGCGACAAAGAUUAUUAUUACCAUCUCCAAUGGGCUGACCAUCCCAUUCAAUAAUAGGUAAUAUAGGAAGCCCACUUCCCACAAACAUCAUCUGGGCUGACUCCUUUGCUUCAUUCAGAGUGAUAUUCGCGGUGCUCACACUCUUAAGAAGGCCCUUCUCAACCAAUUUUGGUGCUAAGGCCAGUAGCCUCUUUGCAGUACAUCCGCUCAGGAUUUUAUCGAAUGAAGGAAGCACCAAAUCCCGGCUUUUGCUGAUAAAUGCGACAUUUACAUUAGGCCCCUCUGCAAUAUACCCUUGCUCAUCGACCCAUAUUGAAGCAAAUGCGCCUUUCUCUUCCGCUUCCAUUACAGCGAGAACAUUUGGGAGGUAGUUUACGUUCUUCAUUGUUGCAAACAUAGGAGGUUUCAUCGGGGUGUUGGAUGUAACAACCUUCACGCCUUCUUUGCACUGAGAGUAGUCAUCGCCUAUGACGACACCAUAGAAUGCGGCUUUAGGGCAGCCUUUGGGUGAAAGCAAGAAAUCACCAGGGCCCGCGCUCAGCCAGUAUCUGAUCGAGCCUUUCUUGCACUUUGAUGCAGCUGUCAUCUGGAUGAGUAUCGUUCGUAGAGUUUCGCGAGGAAAAGGUGGAGUGAUCUUUGCUUUCGAUGACGACCUCAGGAACCGGUCCAAAUGUGCAUCGAGCUCGUACAAGUAGCUAUGAAUGUUGUUGACAGAGAUAGUUCGUAAUUAGACAUACAUGAUGGCCCAUGAAUAAUUCAUGACGAUAAAAUGUUUCAAUUGAUAGGCUCAAAGCUUUUUAACCUAAUAAUCAAGCAUUCAAUUUCUGUGCCAUAAUUUCACAACCAACAAAUUGAGUUGGAUCAAACAGCCCUCAACUAUGAACGUUUGGCCAAGAACUAAGUCAUAAAUUGCAAAUAUCCAGGACUCUGGAUUUCAAAAGAUAUUACGCCAGAGAAUAGCUUUUGUCCUUGAUCUACGAUACUAGCUGAUAAAGUAUACAGGUCUUUAGAGGUUAGACUUUCAUCUUAUUCUGAAAGAUUGCUUGACCAAGAUGAAGAACACGAGAUUGAUGCACAGGAAAUUACAUGUGACUAGUGAGCAGAGAAGACCAUGGUUAAAGAACAACAAAAACAAAUAUACUAUAGGUUAAUGUAGAAACAUAUUUCAAGAAAUUAUGCAUAUGAGGCCUGUUAACAAGGUAGAUGAAGAUUUUUUAUUCCUUCUCUCUUUUUCCUUUUCUUUUUCGCUUUUCUUCUUCUGUUUUUUUAAGAUCUAGGGAAGGUAAAUGUCCAGUAUUCUCAAAAUAGUAUCGUACUGCCUAGAGAACUUCAAAACAUAAACGUGAAUAGAUAGAGUGAUAAGUUUAGUAAACAUAAAACUUGCCAACAUGAACAUCUCACAAUCACCUUUACAAAAAAUCAGAAAAUGAUUCAUGAAAACAAUACAAGGUUAAUAGCAGUUCCCUGUACUUGAUUUAUUAAAAAAAUUUCAUGCAAGCACAUAGAACUUUGGAGAAGUAAAAAAAGAUUCCCCUACGUGUUCAGCAUUAGGACAACAAUUUCAGAGUAUUAUAAUCGCAAGGAUCAGUAUUAAGAGCUGUGCCUACCCAUCCAUGAGCAUAGCAGUAUCAAAAACACCGUGUCCUCUGUGAACCAUGUGAUCAUCAAUUGGAAUAACCAUCAUGGCUGGAUCAAGUAUGAUCGCACCAAUGACGCUAGAGUACAUCGCUGGGUAUGCCUGUUUCCUCCCAGAUCCCCAUUGUUCUUUCAGCUUCUCCAGCACCUACCCAAUCCAGUAAAAAAAAAAACUUAAAUUUAAAGUCACAGUGGCCUGAAUGAGAAGCAUGGAGACCUACCUUACUGCAAAACACGAAAAUAUGUCAAGAUACUUGCUUCCUCUCUAAAAACUAGUAUACACUAAAAAAAAAAACUACGGAUUUCAUCUCAACUUUUGAGGAUUUUUCAAACUAAUAUCUAAACAUUGAAAAGUUUGAUUCUAGCGCUCAUUUAUAUAAUAUCUUUAAUUUUAGCACAUUCCAAUCAGAAUUUAGCUGUAUCUGUGACAUUUUCGACAAAAUAUGUGGCAACCUAAUAGAAAACUAUUAUAUUUGAUGAAAAUUCAUAAAAUCUAAUGGAAUUUCACAAAAUUUUCUAAGUAGUUUUAAAAAUUAAAAAACAAUGAAAGGGUAGUAGAUGACAAAAUCAAGGUGCCAAAUUUAAUUGAUCGUGCAACUAAGUUUUCCAUGAAAAGAAUCACCUCGACGGAGCAAAUGGUUUCCCCAGUUCCACUUUAUAACGAACGAAGUAAAUCCCAUAGGAACCCAAACACUAAAUGCAAGCAAUAGUAACAAAGUGUAGCAAUUUACCUCUACCCCGGUGGAGUAGACCGGGACUUGGACAUGGGCCCCUGAUUCAGUAAAAACAAACGGAAAAGUAGUGAUAAUUAGAACAAGCCAUCAAAGUGUUCGACGAAAUGCGUCAGCUAGGAACAAGAGCGGAAACCGAGGAAACUGAAACCUGGGUUCGGAUCGGAGGAGCCAUCCAUGGCGACAGAAGGCGAAGAGAGUGGAAGAAGAAGAAGAAGAAGAAGAAGAAGGGAAAUGGAAAUGGGGUGGGGGGCGAGGGGUGGGGGGGUCGCUUAAAAAGGGGGAACGAAGACAUUGGUUUCCGUUUUGUCGAGUAGCAGCACUGCACCUAACUAAUGACGUGAAGUUGCACGAAAAAAAAGAAAAAGAAAAAGAAAAAUCAACGAAAAAAUUACUGACACCCCCUCAAAUACAGACAAAUUUGCAACACCCGCCUCAACUUCGGGCAUUCACAAAUUUAAGAAACUGAUUUGCAUGCUGUUAAAAAUACAAUAAUAAUAAUUGUGUCUUUUUUUUGUUGGAUAUAUUAGAGACGACUGCUGCAGUACGUGAUAAAUAAUUUUUUUGGUUGCAUACAAUUGAAAAUCAUAUUUAUUAAUUUUAUCAUUCCAUAUCUGAAACAAAAAUAAUAAAUUUUUUUGUUUAAAUGGUGAUUUAUGAAACAAAAGCAAAAAGUCUUUCUAUUUAAAUAGUGAUUUAGAAGAUAAUUUUAUCUUUUGUUUAGGUAAAUCUUUUCAUUAUUUGUAGAUUUGCGAUCAAUUUGGACGUAAUUUUAAUUACUGGGCGUGAGUUUCUUCGUAUAAUUCUAAUUAUAGCAGUUAAAUUCAAAUAUAUCAAAUAAAAAUUAUAUUUAACUUUACAUAUAGUUAUAAUUAUAAUUACAUACAACCAAACAUCCCUAGUUGCUCCCUGAUUCUCACUUGAACUAAUAUUUGAGGGCUGCUAAGAUAUUGCCAAGUGUCCCUUACAAUGUUGUUAAUGACACGGCAAUAUCAUUAAUACUUCCUAAACUAUAAUUACUAUAUUCCAAACAUUAUUAGUAAAUCCUAAGUAUUAUCAUUACACACUAAAUUCUAAAUUCUAACUUCUCUACAUAUGUAUGCCAUCAUAUCAACUAGUGUAGUUAUCUGCACGAUGCAGCGGACAGAUAUUAUCGAAACGAUUUUUUUAUUAUUGUUGAUCAUCGAUGCUAGUAUGAAAUUGUACAUAUAUCAAAAAAAAUACAGUGAAAAGAUGAAGAAAGAAAAAAAGAGAGAAAGAAAGAGAGGCGUAAAAUGAAGGAAUGACAAAAUAAUUUAAAUAAAAUUAUUAGCUAGAUUAAUAAUUCAAUUAAUUUAAAUAAAAAUAAUUUAAAUAAAAUUAGCUCAAGUUGCUAUAAAAUUUUCAUAUAUAAACUUUAAUAUGAUUUAAAUUGUAUUUGUUCAAUUAGAUUUUAAUUGUAUAAUAAUAAAUUUUAUAAAAUUAUUUAGUGUAUAUAUAAAAUUAUAAAUUCGGGUAAGCAAUUAUUUAUAACAUACAUGCAAAUCCUUUAAAAGAACAUCUAAUUCUAGAAAUAAAUCCUAUAACAAAAUAUGUUUCUACCAGUUUAUUAUUUAACAAUUUUACAUACAUCUAAAUAACUAGAAAAGAAAUUGAAAAAAGCUAAUAGAUAGGGUGGUUAAAAAAAAACAUUAAAGAAAAAGCAAAAUACAAAAAAAUUCUGAUCACUUGAUUAUCACCAUAUAUACUAUCAGUAGUAAGUUGAUUAUAUAUCCAUACACUCUCUUUCACUUCUGUCGUCGCCGCCGAUCUUCUACCACCACUGUCAUCCCCACCAAAUAAACGACGGGAUCUACGGAUUCUAUGAACUCGAUACAAUGCGACAGUGAUGAAAGCGAGCGACUUUUACGGGAGAGGGAAAGGGUGAAAGAAGUUUAGCAAAAGUUGAAAAACGAAGAGACUAAUAGAGACAAAGGGGAAGAAAAAAUUAAUUAUUAAUUAAUUACAUUAAUAAAGAGAGAGAAGGUGGGGUUAUUGCCUUAUUGGAAGGUAAAGAGACGGACGUUAAAGAAGAGUAGAAGAGUUAGAACUAUUGGAAGGUGAGGAGGUCUACGGUGAAGAAGAUGAGAAAAAAAUAAUUAAAAAAAAAUAAUUUACAAAAUAUAAAAAAAUGAGAGCUUGUGACGUCAUCAUUUGAUAUUGGGGAUUCAUAUAAGAGUAUAGAUAAUAUUGUGGGGUAUCCAAGAGUAGAGUCGCCAAAGCAUUUCUAAAAGUCCAUUCAUAUAUAGCCAAUCUUUAUUUAAUAUUUGUUUUAAUGAACGUGAUUUGCUUGACGGUGAGGUUCAACCAGUUUUGUCUUGCUGAAACUUUAGAUGUGUCGUUAGUGACUUUUUAACAUCGUUAGUGUUUAUUUAGAUCACAAAUCACUUAAUUUCAAUAUAUUAUGUAUAGUUAGAUAUUUUAGCCAAAUACUUUUGUGUAGACGGCAUUUUAACAAUUUUUGUAAAUAGUGAAAAGUAAAGGGAACUGGAUUUUAUUUUAAAUAGCACUGUAAAAAUUUCUAAUUGAUUAAAUUAUCCUUUCAAAAUUUUAUUUAACCAACGAACUCUUUUCUUACUAACUUAGUACCAUGUUGGACAAAAAUGAGAAAGAGGAUGAAUCGUUCAUCGUCUUUAGAAAAUGAUGAAUCAUUUAUCAAUUUUUAGAUUCAUAUUGUUGUUUAUAAUUUUAUUUUUUUGGUAUGGAUUGAUUAUGAGCAUGUUUGUGAGGUUGUUAGACUAAUAUGCGUAUUAUUACGAGUUGAAUUAGAAUACAUCUAAAAGCACCAAGUUUUUAGCCUUUAGAUAUAUCCCUUGACUACUAGUAACCUUUGGAUCAAAUGCUAUUCCACUUACCACCAUUCAAUUCAAGUGGGCUACUAUAAUCCUAGCCCUAUUCUAGCUCAAUUUUUAUUAUUAUAAUUUUUGUUCAAUUGUUAGGAUUGUAUAAGCUAGUAGGUAGUUAAAUUUUUUUUGGAUUGUUAGAACUGUAUGUGAUUUAUUAAAUUUUUAUGUAAUUAUUAGAAUUACGUAUGAAAGAAACAAUGAAUCAUUCAUCAUUUACUUUCUUUAGAAAAAGAUAGUAAAUGAUCUUCGUCCUUUUAAUUUUAUUAACAUUUUUCCAUCCUGGCAUUGAGUUCUACAAAAUCAGAUUAUUUGAGCAAAUAAAAUUAUGGUAAGAUCAUUUGGCAGCCAAACUUAAAAAUAGAAUUUGAGAAAAAAAUAUAAUUUUAUUUACCGCACUUUUUCCAACUUAUGUCAAAAUAAAUAGUUAAAAUUCUCACUCACAUUAAAACUCUACUUUUCGUUUAAGUUUUUCCGAUCCAAACAUGCUAUUUAUGUAAAAUGUUUUUAUUGAAAGAAUUACUACAAUAAAUAAGCCCAAGCACCCUCAUUGUGUUAUGUGAAGUAAAGAGUAUAAUCAGUGGUAAUUGAUAAAUUCGUAUGAAAAUAGUAUUUUUUUUAAAAAAUUUAUUUUAUAUUAAUGUGCAACAUAGAAAUUUUUUUAUUAUAUAUUAUUAUUUCUAUAUGGAAUAAUUGUGACAUAGAAGGCUCUUCCAACUAUAUCUCAUAAAUUAUCCCGAAUAGAAAAAAAAAAAUCCAAGCAAAGAUUUUUCAUGACAUGCAAAAAUGCAAGAACAAAAUUGUUCUAAAACAUCAAUACAACAUAGAAGUUAUCAAAUAAGAAAUAACCCUUAAUUGGACAUUUUUUUAUCUUCCAUGGCACAAUAGAAUUGGUUUAGAGCAAAACUUAUAAUAUGGAAUAACUCUUAGAAACAACACAUUUUUCAACUUUAGAGUCCUAUUUGGCCAUCAGAACAAGUUUUUUUGAAAAUUACUUGUUUGGUGUGAAAAUUCUAUUCAGUAUUUGAAAGUUAGAAGUUUGAUUUUAAUUUCUUGAAAGAUCUUGAUAUAUAUAAUUUGAUAUUUGAUAGAAAAGCAUAUUUCGCCUAUAACGUAAUUUCACCUAAUAAAAUAAUUUAUUUUAUUCUGAAAAAAAAUAAUUUAAAGUUGGAAUACAAUAUAACAUUUUAGACAUUUGAUUUACAGUCCUCACUACCAAAUAUAUAAACAUCUUGAGUGAAUCAAAAAGAUCUAUGGGAUAAGAUAUCUGCACAUUCAAAUAGGGUCUAUAUUUUUUAACUAACGCUUUCUCAAUCAAUAUCUUUUUAAUAUUUGAAUAGUUAUACUUAUUUAAAUUAAAAAUUUUGUUAAACUAUACCUCCUGUUACCUAUUAAUACUUUAAUCACUAUAACAUUGAGUCCGGCUGGGAUACUAUCGAUAGCACGAAGCAUUUGGUACUAUCAAAUUUUCUGCCGUUAGAUUUAGUUCUUUUAUCAUUUUCAUCCGUUCGAUUAUAUUAUUCAACCAAACACCCGCUCAACUCCAGGGGAACCACAUCAUCCUAACUAUAUAUCUUUUAAUCCAAUGGUGAAAAACUUAAUAGCACAAGUCGUUCAUGCUAUUAAUAGUAUUUCAACCUAGCUCCUAUAACAUUAUUUGCUAAAAGCAAUUAAAAUUAUUGUUUAAAGAUCACUAAUAAAAUUUUAAUUUGGCGGACUUAAAAUAUUAUUCCUCCAACAAAUUAGGUGAAACAUAUUAGAAGUUUCACAAAAGGGGCAAUUGCCUAUAUACCCCUGAAAAGUUUCCGGUUUUCUUAUUUUUAAAAUUAACCACUUACAUAUUAUAGGCAUAUUUAGUGCAUAGACUUUAUUAACGGCUUAAGUAAAAAAUCGGCAUAAAAAGUUGAUUAAAUUUUUAAUUUUCUACUUAAUAUAGACAUGGCUUAAAAAUGGCUUAGGCUUAAUUGAUUGAUAUGGAGAUCGUCUUAGGCUUAGGCUUAAUCGACUUAAAAAAUAGGGCUUUAAAAUUAACCACUUACAUAUUAUAGGCAUAUUUAGUGCAUAGACUUUAUUAACGGCUUAAGCAAAAAAUCGGCAUAAAAAGUUGAUUAAAUUUUUAAUUUUCUACUUAAUAUAGACAUGGCUUAAAAAUGGCUUAGGCUUAAUUGAUUGAUAUGGAGAUCGUCUUAGGCUUAGGCUUAAUCGACUUAAAAAAUAGGGCUUUAAAAUUAACCACUUACAUAUUAUAGGCAUAUUUAGUGCAUAGACUUUAUUAACGGCUUAAGCAAAAAAUCGGCAUAAAAAGUUGAUUAAAUUUUUAAUUUUCUACUUAAUAUAGACAUGGCUUAAAAAUGGCUUAGGCUUAAUUGAUUGAUAUGGAGAUCGUCUUAGGCUUAGGCUUAAUCGACUUAAAAAAUAGGGCUUUAAAAUUAACCACUUACAUAUUAUAGGCAUAUUUAGUGCAUAGACUUUAUUAACGGCUUAAGCAAAAAAUCGGCAUAAAAAGUUGAUUAAAUUUUUAAUUUUCUACUUAAUAUAGACAUGGCUUAAAAAUGGCUUAGGCUUAAUUGAUUGAUAUGGAGAUCGUCUUAGGCUUAGGCUUAAUCGACUUAAAAAAUAGGGCUUUAAAAUUAACCACUUGCAUAUUAUAGGCAUAUAGACUUUAUUAACGGCUUAAGCAAAAAAUCGGUAUAAAAAGUUGAUUAAAUUUUUAAUUUUCUGCUUAAUAUAGAAAUGGCUUAAAAAUGGCUUAGACUUAAUUGAUUGAUAUGGAGAUUGGUGGUUCCAACCAAAUCGACGCUAGCUAGAGUAGACAAAUAGACGAGCGAGGGCUGCACGAAAUAAUUAAUUAACUAUAAACUUCCCGUUUAAUUUUUUCAUAAACGAUAUACUUCCCAUAUAUUCUUUUCAAUCAAUGCCAUGUUCCCAUAUAACUUUACCCGUUUUACCAUUAAAAGGUCUCUAUUGCCGUCGAGUGACUGCCUUGAAUUGAUGUCCCCAUAUAAUCUUUCUGAACCUUGUAUUCUUCCCAUAAAAGUUAUAAUCGGAAGAUUCUCCCCAUNGCUUCCGGCACGCAGACGGCCUCCGGCGAGAUGGGAUCGUCGUUGCAGCCCUCUUGCUCCCGGCGCCGGCCAAGACGGCGGAGGAGGAGGACGAUGACGACGAGAGCGGCGGAGGAGGAGCUCGUGGAGGAGCCGAUCCUGGAAUGGAGGAGCUCCUGGAGGGCACGGAGCUUGCGCUUCAAAAGGGCGGAGAAGUUGGCGAUGGUGGAGGCGCGCGGGGAGGGGACCAAGGGGAGGAGGUGGUCGCCCCAGCGGAAGCGCCUGGAGAGGACGACUUCGAGGAGGGACGGGAGGGAGUCGAGGGAGGGGCGAGGAAAGGAGGAGCGGGGGGUCGAAGGGGUCGCCGUCCUCUCCGCGACGAUGGGUUGGGGUCGGGGUUGGGGACGACGAUAGGGGGAGGAGGGAGAAGGAGAAUGACGAAGAGGAUGAGGAGGAUAACUUAAGGAAUUAGUAUAAUGUGGUAGGGGCAAAAUAGGUAUUUUAUUUAGAUUUUAACUCUAGUAUACAUUUAACCCAUGUUUAACCUGAGUUAAGCUAACAGAGGAUAACUGCAGGGAUAUUUUAGAAUAACGGUGGAACAUAUGAGGGGCAUUUUAGAAAGAAAAAAAAAGCAAGGGUAGAUCGGAUAUAUCCGAGCGUAUGAGGGGUAUAUAGGCAAUUAUCCCUCAAUUAAAUUACUUACAACGUACUAAAUAUAUCUACUUUUGUUGUCUUUUUGUGAAGGGAUAAUUGCUUAUUUAAAAUUCAUAACAUAAUUAGAUAAAAUUAUUCAGAUAAAAAAAAUUAAAAUUUGAAAGGCAUCAAAAAAGAGAAAAAAAAAAAGAAAACCAGGGGGAAUUUCAAAUAUGCUACAGUUGAGGGGUUUCUCCACAAAUCAUAACCAAAACAUAAGUAUUCAGUAUUCAGUAAUGGUGGAAAGUGGGUUCUUCUUUUUCAUUUUCCUGAGCAUAGUGGUGACAACAAUGGGCUUACGACAGAGAAAAAGACAGGGAGCAGGACAACAAAAUCGGCACCAACACAAUUAUAAGGGUUAAAAAAUUAUCCUCACCUUAAACACAUUAAAUUGCUUAAAAUUAUUGGCCUGAUAAAGCAAACCACUCAUAGCACUUCAUCCUCUUCUGUGUGGAUUGUCUGCAGUGCGACAAUCAAUCAAGACUGUAUACAUAUAGAGAGAGAGAGAAUUUAGCUCUAUAAAAGUAAAGAAACUCAAUGAGCCAUCCAACGUCUCAAAAUUCGAACAAUACUAAUAAAAGAGACUUAAUGGGACACGCCGUUACUUAAUAAUGCUCUACGGAUCUUAAGAUGAUCCGACGGUUAAAAAUCACGAACACAUUGAGCUCCCGUACUUUUUUUAACUCUCUCUCUCUCUCUCUAUAUAUAUAUAUAUAUUGAAAGUAAAAUUAAUCUAUGAAAUACCUCAAUUCCGAUUCGAAAAUCGUGAUAAAAUAGGAUCAAACCAAACCACUCGCUCCAACGGAUCAAAUGCAAGAUCACAAGAUGGAAAUUGCACUAGUUUCCACAACCCAAAUGUCAAAUCCUCCAAGACGAGAGUAAACUUUAAGAAUUCAGUGAUUGGGAGAAAAUCUCAUUGGGAGAAGAAGAAGCAGAAAAGUAAGUGUCUUUUUUUGUUUUUUUUUUUUUUGUUUUUUUUGUUUUUUUUAUGUUACAUCCCUCCUUUCUCUCUGCACGUUUGUAACUGCUCGUACUGGGUGGUUUCCCAACCAACUAAGGAAACCACCUCUUAAUGGGUUGGGUCGGAUUUGCCCAUCAUGGGCGACCCGAAACCCGAUUAAAAAACCAACAUCUCCCACUCGCACGUGAUGGGCAAACAAUUCCCAUUAUCUUGGUGAUUUUCAUACUGACAAAUGGGUCGUGUGACCCGCGAGCCAACUCAUAAGCCUAUCUAUGCACCUGUUAGAGAUACAUAAUAGCUGUGAAAACCAAAAUGAUAUUUUAUUCUUACCCAUAUCAUGACUCGCUAUGCCCUAAACAAAAUUAGUUAUGUCAAAUUAAGUAUACCUAAUCCCUCAAAAUGGCUACACUUAAUCUUUCUUUUCUUACUAUGUAUUCACAAUUAUGCUCCAACUUUUCUACAAAAGCAACAUAAGUGGUCGACCGGUGAAUACAUAUGCUUGACAUAAUCUAAAAUGUCUUCCUUUUGUUCUCAUACUUAUCAGUUUUAGACCAACCACUUUCCUAGACAUGCCCCAUAAGGCUAAUUAUUUCAUCACCGCUGGAAACAUGCUAAAGUAGCAAACAUUGAUCUAUUAUAUCAGAAUAUAGACAUAAGUUACUAAGGGCACUUAAGAGACCAUUGUAUAUUUAAGGUCUCGAGGAACUCACACAAUAAGAAUGCAGGGAUUCUAUUUAUUUAACCUCAUUUUCCUCAUAGUCACUUUUACACACGCGGUAUGAAACGCAUGUUAUGGUGUAAUUUCUCCUCUAAGGAGCGUAUGUCAAAUAAAAUCAUAAACACCGUACAGAUUUCAGUUAAACACCUCAUUGCAUCUAACUCGAGUUCUCUAUACAACAAUUUUAUCGUAUUGUCUAUCAGAGAUCUCACAUCUGGUAACUCAGGCUAACAUGAUUGUGGGGUCAUCAUGUUCGGUCCAAAAAGAUACAAACAAUUCAAAUACAGACCUCAUCUUGACUUUAGUCAAGGCGACAUAUAUAUGUACACUUUUAAACUCUCUUAUAACACAUCUCUGGUUUUCUUAAAAGAUGAAUGUACAUUUGUCUCAUCUCAGCACGCCUUCUUCGCAUCUGAGGCAGUCGCUCGUGUGAGAAAGUCGACUACAGCCUGGUGACAUACCUUUUAGAUAUCACAUAUUUUGUGCUAGUAUCAAUGUAUACUUUUCACAUAGAAAAUAGAGUAGAGUGCAAACUUCAUUAAUACAAUGUACUAAUACAACAUUGUAUGGUCAAUCUUAAAGUACAGUACAUCAUAUUCUACGCAAUCCUGACGAUUCAACAUGUGAUCUGAACACAUCUCUUGUCAGAGGUUUUGUGAAUGGAUCAGCAACCAUCAGAUGCGUAGAUAUAUACUGUAGAAACACAUCCUUUUGUGCCACAAUGUCUCUUAUAAAAUUAUUCUUUAUAUCUAUGUGCUUUGUUCUUCCAUGAUAUUUCGGAUCCUUUACAAAAGCAAUUGCAGCUUGAUUGUCACACUGGAUUUUCACAAAGUUAAAGUUAUUUUUUGUUAUUCCCAAACUUUGUAAAAAUCUUCUCAACCAAACUGCCUCUUGUACUGCUGCUGAACAUGCUACAAAUUCAGCUUCUAUGGUUGAUAUGCAGUACAAUUUUGUUUCUUGCUAUUCCAAGAGAUGGCGCCAUCGCUAAGUAAGAAUACAUAACCAGAAGUGGAUUUGCGCUCAUCCAGAUCUCCUGCCGAAUCUGCAUCUGAAUAUCCCACCAAACGCAAACCUUUUCCUUGAUAGCACAAUGAAUAAUCUGCAAUUCCUUUGAGAUAUCUAAGGAUCCUUUUAACACCUUUCAAGUGUUUCAUGCUAGGGUUUGAUUGAUAACGGCUCACUAAACCCACGACAUAACAUAUAUCUGGCCUCGUACACAUGGUGGCAUAUAUUAGACUUCCAACAGCACUAGAGUAAGGAAUUUUAGCCAUUGCUUUUCUUUCUUCUGCAGUUUUAGGACACAUAUCAAGACUUAGGCCUUCACCCUUUGCUAUAGGAGUAUCAAUGGGAUUACAAUUCUGCAUAUUAAAUCGUUCCAAAAUUUUCUUGAUAUAAGACUCUUGUGAAAGACCCAAUAAUUUUCUAGAACGAUCUCUGUAAAUUUUCACUCCAAGAAUAUAUGCAGCAUCCCCCAUAUCCUUUAUUUCGAAAUUAGAGUGUAACCACUCUUUAAUGAUACUCAUGAAUCCUUAUCAUUUCCUGCCAACAGUAUAUCAUCAACGUAUAGAGAUAAAAUUGUAAAUUUACACUCUUCACGUUUAAUAUAUACACAAUGAUCCGCAUUGAUCAUAUUAAAAUCAUAAGAUGUUACAGCUCUAUGGAAUCUCAAAUACCAUUGUCUGGAUGAUUGUCUUAGGCCAUAUAAGGAUUUUUUUAGUUUACAAACUUUAUUUUCUUGGCCAUCAACUUCAAAACCCGAAUGUUGAUCCAUAUAAAUUUCUUCAUCCAACUCACCAUUGAGAAAAGCUGUUUUAACAUCCAUUUGAUAUAACUCUAAAUCUAAAUGAGUUACUAUGGUAAGAAUUAGACGAAUGGAGGUAAAACGCACUACCGGUGAAAAGGUUUUCUCGUAAUCAAUACCCUCUUGUUGAGUAUAAUCUUUCGCCACUAGGCGAGCCUUAUACCUUUCAAUGGAUCCAUCUGCCUUGCGUUUAAUUUUGAGAACCCAUUUGUUCCCUAUAGUCUUGCGCCCUGGUGGCAGAUCAACCAAGUCCCAGACAUGGUUGGAUUUUAUUGACUCCAUUUCUUCUUCCAUUGCAAUUUUCCAUUGUUCUUUCUCUGGGCAAGAUAAAGCAUUUCUUACAUUCUUAGGUUCGGCUUCAUCAUGUGAAGCUACCAUAAAGGCUUCACCCUCAAUCUCAAAUCGUCGUCGAGGAAUGAUUUGACGAUUGCUUCUUCGCAAUUUUAAACCAUGUGAAUCAUAUUCACUCCCACUAGGUUCAUGUGUGUCGUCACCAAUGAAGUCUUCAAUUUCACAUAAUUGAAAUUCCUUGUCAAUUUCACCUUUACUGGAAAAUUCAUCCUCUAUGAAUGUGGCAUCACGUGAUUCUAUUUCAGUUAAACCUCCCUCGGAAUGUUCACCUAAGAACACAUAACCUUUUAAUUAUUCUGAGUAUCUUAUAAAGAUACAUUUCUUCCCUUUAGGACCUAGUUUUUCAUACUUGUGGGAAGAAUCAUGGACAUAGGCUGUCGACCCCCAUGGUCGUAAAUAAGUUAAAUCAGGUCUUCUACCUGUCCAUAACUCAUAGGGAGUAGAUGCAACUGAUUUAGAAGGUAUCAUUUGAAGUAUAUAAGCUACUGUUAAAUAGGGGUGUUAACGAGCCGAACACAAGCGAGCUGGGGUCGCGCUCCGUGUUCGGUCGUUUAUUAAACGAGCCGAACACGAGCUGGCUCGUUAAAGUAUCGAGCCAAAAAAUUCAGCUGUGUUCGGCUGUUUAUUAACGAGCCAAACACGAGCUGGCUCACGAGCUGGCCAACGACAAUAAAAUAAACAAAAGAUUAAAUAUAUAUGAAAAUAAAUUUUAUAAUCUAUCAUUAGACUUUGAUAUAUUGUUGAAACUUUACAUAUAAUGAGCCUUUUUAUAAUUAAGCUCGCAUUUAUAUUUUUAUUUUUACUAAAAUUAAAUAAUAAAAUAUAUAAUAUAUUAUAUUAUUUAUUUAUUAUAUAAAAAUAUAAACUAAAUAAAUUUAUAAUAUAAAAUAUAUGUAUUCGAGCUGUUAUCGAGCAACACGACGAGCUGACCCCGCUCGUGUUCGGUCGUUUAUUAAACGGUUUUGAAAAUCCAGCUCGUGUUCGGUCGUUUACUAAACGAGGCGAGCCGAUCUCGAGCUCAUUUCGAGCCGAACACGAGUUGGCUCGCGAACAGCGAGCUGGAUUGCCACCCCUAGCUGUUAAUAAAGCAUCUCCCCAAAAGAAAAUGGAAAGAUUUGCUUGUGCCAUCAUGGAUCUAACCAUUUCUAGUAAGGUCCUAUUUCUUCUCUCUGCAACACCAUUUUGUUGCGGAGUUCCAGGAAUGGUCAGUUGCCUUUCAAUGCCCUUUUCAUUACAUAAUUAUUUGAAUUGUUCAGAUAGAUACUCCCUACCCCUAUCAGUUCUCAAAGCUUUAAUCCUUCUAUCUAACUGAUUCUCUACAAGGUUAACAUAACGUUUGAAGCAAUCCAAUGCUUCUGAUUUGUGAGCAAUCAGAUAGAUGUAACCAAAACGGGUGAAGUCAUCUAUAAAAGUAAUGAAAUAUGAUGCACCAUGUCUUGCCCUAACAUUCAUUGGACCACAUAUAUCAGAAUGAAUUAAUUGCAGUGAAUAUUCGGCUCUUGUUCCUUUACCAAAUGGUUUUCUAGUUGUUUUUCCAGCUAGACAGUGUUCACAUCUAGGCAAAUCAAUUGCAGUGAGUGAACCUAACAGACCAUGUUUAGCAAGCCUAUUCAUCCUUUCUUGACCAACAUGUCCUAGUCUAGCAUGCCAAACAUUUGUAUUCACAUUUGUAUUGCUACAAGAAGCGAUUGAUGAAAAACAACUACCAACAUAAUUAUGUAUAUUAUGUUCACAAUCCAAUACAAAGAAACCAUUUAAUAAGUAGCCAGAACCAUAAUAAACAUAGUCAUAAAAUAUGUCCAUAUGAUUGUUGCAGAAAUUUAAACCAUAGCCUAAACCUAAAAGAACAGAUACAGAGACCAAGUUUCGUCGAAUCUCUGGAGCAUAUAGGACAUCAUGUAGGAGUAAGGUUCGGCCACCACGCAACACCAACUUGCACGUGCCUAUCCCUUUUACGUCAACUUUCGCAUUGUUUCCUACAUAUAUCCAUUUAGUUCCAGUUUGGACUCGACGAUACUCUACAAAUGCACCUCGGUCUCCUGCUACAUGAUCUGUAGCUCCUGAGUCUACAAUCCACAAAGGAUAAGAAUCUGUGAGCAACACUGUACUAGAAACAUAAACAGUAUUAAGAAAAAUAGAAUAAAAUGCUACCUUUUUCUGCUCGGUACACUCACGAGCAAAGUGACCCAACUUGCCACAGUUAUAGCACUUCAUCUUACUCUUAUCUUUCUUUUUCUUCCAAAACCGUUUGCCUUUCUGAUUUACUUUGAACUUGUUCUUUUUAGGCCCCUGUCCAAUCUCUACUCCCUUCCCCUUUCUUAUACCGAGAGCCUGAAGCCCUGGGAGAACUGGAUUCAGUCAUAUAAGCAUGUACGAGACCUCUUGUAGCCUCAAGACGCUCAUCUUCCAGUUCCACAUGGCGAGCCACAUCAGCAAAAGUUUUGAUGCUGUCUUGUGAGUUAAAUUAACUUUCAUGUGCUCCCAACUAUCAGGAAGAGAGCGGAUUACUGCUUGAACUUGCUGCUCAUCAGUGAGGGCGUGUCCUGCUGACUUCAAUUCCCUUAUCAUGUUUGACAUCUCUCGUAGAUGUUGUUUGAUGGUAUGAUUAGGGCGUUUCUUAUAAGUAUCAAAUUUGAUGGUCAACUGUCUCAAUUUGAUUAUAGUUGUACCGCCAAAUUUCUCCUUUAGAUGAACCCACAUUGCAUGAGCAGUAGGAAGUUGCUCGCACUCACCAAUGAGAUCAUCAACCAUUGAACUUAUCAGAAUUCCGCGAGCAGAGGAAUCCUUUGGUUUCCAAGCACGAUAAGCUUCUUGAUCUCUUCUAUACUGAGUAGUAUUUCCUUCACCAGGGUCGGUCAUGGUAUGAUAAAUAGUUUCUAAUGCUUGUUGUUCCUCAAGAACAUAUUGAAUCUUAGUUUGCCAGAUAUUGUAAUUAUCUCCAUCCAAUUUCUCACCCUUAUUGAGAUCUGCUAUGAUAUUCUUUGAUGCCAUGGUAUUUCAAAGCUACAUAAAGACAUUGUAAAUUAAAUACUAGCACUUACAAAAAAAAUUAUCUAAAACACCUAUCACUUUAUGCUAUAUAAUGUACUAAGUUAAUCAUGAUAUAAUAUAAGAAAUAGAAUCGAAAGUUCACUAUGUUCCCAAUCAUCUUCUAUAUUCAAAUAUUAUAUUAUCACAAACUUGACGUUCAUCAUAUAGAGAGAUAAGUUCUAGAUAAAAAAAAUUCAAGAUUUCUCCAAAUCUAAGAACUCCCACUCAACUAAACAUUUAUCAAACAAAUGAAGUACUAUCAUCAUCAUCAAUGAAAGACAGUUAUGUCAUGCCAUUUAUAAUUCUAAGUAUUAAAUGAAAUGCAUAUUUUCAUUAACACAAGAAAACACUAUAUAGUGUUGAUUAAAAUGCAUAACAACAAAAAAAUAUCCUCCAUGGAUACAAAUACAAUUCGAACUAACUUAAUUUUCACCGUUAAACACUCUACACCAUGGUUCUGGAACAAUAUCAUAUGAUACUCGUUCCACAAUGUCAAGUGCUGCCUUCUCUAAGAAUAGGCCUCCAUCAGAUCUGCCAAGAGCAGUGCGCCUACCAUUUCGAAGAUUAGGAGAUAGAGCCAAAAUGUUUGUCCUUCUUAUAGCACUUGUAAUGUAAUGACGAUUAUAUGCAUUUCUAAAUCUCGAUACCAGAUCACCAUAAGAUACUAUGAAAUCAUACUUAGAUACCAGAUCACCAUAAGAUACUAUGAAAUCAUACUUAUUUUUAAAUAUAUUUCACCAAGUUUUAGCCCAAUAAUCUGGUAUUGAAUUUCUCAAUGCAAGUGCUCUCUGAAAAUCUUGAAUGAUAUAAUCGUCAUUUUCAAGCACAUUGAACAAGUCGUCUAAAAAUGAUAUAUAUUGUUCCAUGGAGUGUGACGGAUUCAUCUCAUAAGUCAUGAUGGGGCGCAAUAAUCUAUCACCACAUCUUCCCCUCAAGACUCUCUUAGUCUGAAUAGUACGUGCCAUAUCUAACAAAAAAAAUUUAUCAUUCAUGAACAUGCCAUAUCUAACAAACUUUAACAAUCAUUAGCAUGUUAAAUUUUCAAUAUAAAUAUUUUAUCUACAAUAUUAUGGCAUCAAUCAAUACAUUAUGAUGUUAAUUAAAUAAUAUAAAUUAAUUCAUAAUUUGCUAAAACUAUACAUGAGUUUAAAAUAAUUGAACCAUUAUAAAAUACUCCAUUAAAAAAAUAAAAUAACAAAUUGCUCAAUCCAAGAAUUGAACCCUAAACCUCAUGUAUACCAUAAACUUAACCCUUGCUGCCAACAACCAACAAGUCAAGUGUUAGAAUAUUAAAUAUAUACCAACUUUUAUAUAUAUAUACAGUUUCGGACGUACCAUAUUAUUACAAUCCAAUAACUCGUUUAUAUUGGAUUGGAUCUGGAAAAAAAUAUCCAUUAAUAGAAUAUUACGAACCCAUUAAGUCCGUGUUCAAUUCAUCGUACUUUCUUUUCCUGAAACGAAAAAAAAUUGAGCAAUCUACAUAUUAUUAAUUCUCAUUAUAAGAUUGACAAUACAAGUUAAAGAAUUUUUUAAAAAAAUUCUUACGUUAGAGUUAAAUCAUGUAUUCAAUCUCAAGAGAAGUAAUUUAUACAAAUUUCUCAUAUAUAAGAAAAAAUCAUUCAUAACAAGUUCCAUCGUGGAAAUAAUUAAGAGUCAAGGAUUUGGUUUAAACAUGCUCUGAUAUCAAUGAAAGUAAAAUUAAUCUAUGAAAUACCUCAAUUCCGAUUCAAAGAUCGUGAUAAAAUAGGAUCAAAUCAAACCACUCGCUCCAACGGAUCAAAUGCAAGAUCACAAGUUGGAAAUUGCACUAGUUUCCAUAACCCAAAUGUCAAAUCCUCCAAGACGAGAGUAAAUUUUAGGAAUUCAGUGAUUGAGAGAAAAUCUCAUUGGGAGAAGAAGAAGCAAAAAUGUAAGUGUUUUUUUUUUUUUUUUUUUUUUUUUUUUUUUUUUUUUUUUUUUUUUUUUUUUUUUUAACGUUACAUCCCUUCUUUCUCUCUGCACGUUUGUAACUGCUCGUACUGGGUGGUUUCCCAACCAACUAAGGAAACCACCUCUUAAUGGGAUGGGUCGGGUCAGAUUUGCCUAUUAUGGACGACCCGAAACCCGAUUAAAAAACCAACAUAUAUAUAUAUAUAUAUAUAUAUAUAUAUAUAUAGAGUAUGACUACUGUGCUAUUAGGAGCACAGCAGCCCUUGUGCUCCUAAGUUUUUAACCGCCCAUCAAAUUUAAUGGAUGGUUAGUACGAUAUAUAUAUAUAUAUAUAUAUCGUACUUAUUAGAAUAAUAAAUUGGAUCUUCCAACUAUAACAAAUAAUAAAGUUUGAUACGUCAUAAUUUCUUAUUUACAAACAUUAUAAUUUGAUUUUUUUUUAUUUUUAAACAGGGCUAGACCCUAUUUAAAGGAAUUUUAUUAUUUAUUACCUACCGCCAUGCUCUUUUAAUUCAUGAGCAGUGCCUGCUAGGGCUGGCAAACGAGCGAGCCGGCUCGCGUUCGACUCGUGUUCGGCUCGAUAUUCGGCUCGCUCGAGCUCGACUCGAAAUUAAAUGAGCCGAGCUUGAACAAAAUAAAAGGCUCGAAAUUCAUUUCAAGCCGAGCUUGAGUAUUACUCGGCUCGUUCGAAUUAGGCUCGAAAAGCUCGAAAAGCUCGAAUAUAUAUAUAUAUAUAUAUAUUAGAUUCUAGUUAGGACUGGACUACUAUGCCUAGCAUAAUUUCAUUGUUGCCUACCAUGUUUUUUUAGCUUUGGAUCAUCUUUUCAUUAUUUCUAACUAAUCGGAUUAAAAUCGUAUAACCCCAGUGGGAACCACUCAAUCCCUAGGAGGCACUUGAAUUUAACAAUAUAUAUUCUGACCAUACAAUUUUUUCAUUCAAGGAUUUAAAAACUUGAUAGCAAAAGGCAUUUUCUAUUAUUAGUAUUCCAGCUAAUCUAAAUAUAUAUAUAUUAUAUCUAUAUUAUAUAUUAUAUAAUAUAUUAUAUAUAUAUACAUAAUAUAAAAUAGAAUAUAAAUAAAUAAAAAUUUAACUUUGGGCCAUUAUUGUUGGUCAUAAAAAACCCAAAAAAGUAACACCGAUAAGCAAAAAUUGAGCCCAUUUUAAUUUACAUAACAACCUCGUCUUUAGACUUUCACUGUUGCAAAAUUACCCUAAAAUAUUGAUAAAUUCAAUUCCCAAAUCCCUAAUUCUCCCCCCACUUCUCUCUUCUCUCUCGUUUCUUCUGCUCUUCGACUCUCAAACCAAAAAGUCAGAAGCAGUCACCCUAGCUCACAUUUCUUGCAAUUAUUUUGUAUUUUGAACUAUUGGACAUAUUAUAUCAAAUUGUAGGUAAUGUUCUAUAAAAAUUAAACUAUUGAUUAUAUAAUGUCGAGAAUUUCAAUCGGCUCGUUUAGAACUCGAGCUCGGCUCGACUCGAAAUUAGGCUCGCUCGAGCUCAGCUCGAAUUAAUUUCAAGCCGAGCUUGAGCCUAGAUUUAGGCUCGAAAUUAAUUUCAAGCCGAAUUUGAGCUGACAUAAGCUCGCUCGAGCUCGGCUCGUUUCCACCCCUAGUGCCUGCUGGCGCUGCCAUGGGCUCUCUCAAGUCAUGACUCGGAGGCCCGUGCCAUGUUGGCCUCUCCAAAUCUUUGCGCAAUGGACCAAGAGAAUUCUAAAAGACAAUUCAACAAACACUCAGGUAGACUGUAAUAAACUACUAGCGAACGGACCAAUUCUGUUAAACUAAAUAAUAAAUAAAUUAAAAAAUAAAAAAAUAAAAAAAAUCAAAGAAUAAAAGAGAAUAUAAAUAAAAAAAUUGAAGAAGAAGCUGAAUUAAAAAAUAAAAAUAUAAGGAGAAUAAAAAUAAAAGAUUAUAAGAAUAAUAAAUUAUAUUUAUAGCAACAGUAAAAUUUUUGGAUUAAAAUACCACAUGCAUUAUAGUUCGAGAUAGAAAUUAUAAUUAAUUAAAGUUUGAAAAUUAAAGCGUCACAUGCUUAAUAGUUUGAGCAAAAAAAAGAAUAUGCAUGAAAAUUUGAAGACUAAAAUGUCGCACUUCUUAUAGUUUGGAAUCAAAAGUAUACUUUAUCUUUUUUAUAUUUUAAUUUUAUUACGAAUGAAGACAAAACUGUCCAUCGAUCAAUUUUGUUUAAUUAGUAAUUUCAUUCCAUGAACGAAUAUGUUAAACUAUCUAAUAAAUUUUAAAAUAUCUUAUUAUUAUUAUUAAAUUAAAAGUCAAUCAAUCAUAUUUUAGAUAUUUUAAAAAAUUCUAAGUGUGAAAUUAAUCGCUCACCACACUAUAAAUAUGAUAUUAAAUUAAUUUUGAUAUUAAAAUCAAAAUAAAAUUAUAUAAAAUUUUUCUAAAUUAUGAAUUAUUUUGAAUCAGCUAUUCAAUCUUUCAAGAUUUUAUUUUUAUUAUCCAACGUGUCUACAUGUCAUCAAAGAAACUUUUAUUUCAAAAUUUAAAUACGUCGUUUAGUUUUACAUAUUUAAUUAAUAUACUUUAUAUAAUUCUUAUGACUAAAUUUAUUAAAAUAGGUAUUAAUUUAAUCUUCUUCAAUCUCUCUUUUAUUUUUAUUAUACAAUUUAUAUCUGAAUGAUUAAUAUUAUAAAAAUUAAAUUUUAUAUUUAAUAUAUGUAAUCUAAACUAUUUAAAAAUUAUCUAUAAAAAUUUAUAUAUUUUAAAUUUUUAUAAUAAGAGAAAAAAUUAGAUUGAAUAAAAAAAAAUAAAAUCUCAAUUUUCUCAAUUCAAAAAAGUAGAGAGAAAACAAAAUAAAAAUAAAAAAAAUUUAAAAAAUGGGCCACCACACCCUCCCGGCCCCUCUCCCACCUGCCUGGCCCCACACCCAUCUUCGCCGCCUUCGCUCUCGCACCCGCACCACUUCUCUGCCACGUGUUCGAAAGGACUGAAGAUUCAUUAUAUAGAUAAAUAGAUUGAUAGAUAUAGAUAAAUAGAUAGAUAAAUAUAUACACAAUUGUCACAUAAUUACGUGGAAAACCACCUCGGUGGGAGGGAGAAAAAACAACGGGUCAAACUCCCCAGAUGCUUCACGAUUGAAAUAAUGGGAGUACAAUGCUUUCUUCAUUAGUCUCACUAGAGGAUCAUCUGCAUUAAGAGAUCAAUCUCUCUUCGUUUAUAUGCAUCACUUAUAAUUAGAUUGGUCAAAAUACUCUCACCAAAUGAGGUGGAAAAACCAAAGAAAAAAGAAUGAGAUUAUGAUAGAAAACACACAACUCUCUUGACCAUUUCCUUCACUCCAGUGACACACACCAAAUCUUCCAUAUGAAGGGAUGCACCGAGAAGAGAGUUGGAAGAAGAGAGCACCGAAAUUUUUCUCAACCUCUUAUCCCAGUAGAGACAAGUUAUCCCAUCCACGCUAAUUAGUAUAGCUUUACUAAGCCCCUACCAGAAAAGGCCCAAAUCUCACUUAAAUUUAAGUGAGCUAAUCUCCUCAUAGUGAUAAGCAUAACCUAUUUGGGCCAAUACUCAGUUCGGCAUGGCAGGGUACUUUUGUUCUUAUUUUUUUUUGUUUUUAGGUAAAAAUGUACAAAACUUAUAGAAAUUAUAAACUAUUUUAAAUUAGUGAUUCAAUUUUUUAAAACUUUGAUUUGACUACCUAACAAGUCAAUUUGUUUGAUUUGAGUCAAUCAAUAACACUUCGAUAUCAAAAUUUGAAUGCUUUAUGUUAUAUUUGGUUUAGAUUUGUAGUUAUCUAAUUCUGUGGAUAAAUCCUAAUCUAAUUGGGAUUAGAUAUUAUUUAGAUAGGAGAGGACGGGUGGCGCUGUAAUGUUUCGAAGUUUCUCACGACUAGGGGUUGUGUUUUCGUUUCGUCAUUACUCUUGGUUGUAAUCCUCAAAGAAUAGAAAGGGACCUGAUAUCCUAGUUUGUUAAAAUCGGAUACGGCGAAAAAUAAGAUCAGAAAAUAAGUUAAUGCAAGAAAAGAAAAUAGAUAAGGAAAGAAAUCAUCCGAUUUAUUUACGGUGGUUCGCCACGGCCUAUCGUCCACGUGGCGAAGACGGAGCAAAUUUACUUUAUUAAUGUCUAAAAGGCGGAGUAUCAAGAAUAUCACCCGAAAGAUCGAAAACCAAAAGUAAAUAUAUAUGUUUCGACGCGCGUUACGCAUAUGGCACCGUUUCCUAGCUACGUUUUCCGGUAUCAAUUUAUUUUUAUCUUUGGUUCGUCUCACCUUUUAGAAACGAGGAUUGUACGGUCACUUGGCUUUUGAAUUUUUGUUUGUUGUUCCACCUGGUAUUUCUGUACCAUCACAACUUCACUUUAAUUAAUUAGAUGCAAUCAACUCCUGUCCCAAACUAGAAAGCAAGCAACGCUCACCACUUAUUAAAAAUCAAGCAUUGCAAAUUAACCGCCGGCUUCUUUGCAUAAAAUCAGAACCUCUUAUAUGCAAGCCUGAAUAUUGAGUCGCAGGCUAAAACAAAGUAGCUAUGUAUAUAAGAAAUCAUAUCUCCCAACUGAGAGAGAGAGUCUAAUUCUCAUAUUCAAUUAAUAUAUUAUACUACCAAUUAUAGAUCACAUAUAUGCAAAUUAUAAAUNNNNNNNNNNNNNNNNNNNNNNNNNNNNNNNNNNNNNNNNNNNNNNNNNNNNNNNNNNNNNNNNNNNNNNNNNNNNNNNNNNNNNNNNNNNNNNNNNNNNGGGGGAGAGAGAGAACAGAGGGAGAGAGAGAGAGAGAGAGCAGACAGAGAGAGAGAGAGGCCCCUCUCUCUCCCCCACGUGCCCUCAACCCGCACCCGGCGGGUGCGGGCCGCGCCGGGGGGUUCCCGGCCCGCGGCCCCCGCGCGCGCCUUUCCUCCCUCCUCUUCCUCUUUACCACUCCCUCCUCCCCCACUGCUCUCUCCCUCUCUUUCCCCCCCCACCCCCCUCUCCCCUCUCUUCCCUCUUUUACUCCCCCCGCCAUCUCUCUCUCUCUCUCUCUCUCUCUCUCUCCCUCUCCCCAGCGGGCGGCAGCGGGAGGCGAAGGCGGAGGCGCGGGCGGGCAGCAGUGGGACGCGGAGCCGCGGGGGGCAGCAGCAGGCCUGGCGCGCUGGCGCGGGCCAGGCAGCGGGGCGGGCGCGCGGGCGCGCACCGACGGGAGGGGGGGAGAGGGUGGGGAAAGGGAGAGAUGGGAAGAGAGAGAGAGGAAGAGAGAGAAAGAGAGAGAGACAAGGAGUCAGAGGAGAAAGAGAAAGAGAGAGGGAGAGAGAGAAUUUUACAACUUUAAAUUUUAAAUUUUAUAUAUAAAUUUUAAAUUUUAGAUUUUAAAUUUUAAAUUUAAUCUAUAUACAUAUCUAAUUUUAUUUAUAAAUAUAUAUUUAUUUACUAUAUAUAAUUUUUAUAUUUAAUUUUUUUGUGUUUAAAAUUUUAAAUUAGAUUUAAAAAUUAAAACAUUAAAAAUAUUAUUUAAAAUAUUUUAAAAAUUAUGUAAAUUUUUCGCCGCGAAGCGCGGGCCUCCACUAGUAGGGAAAGAGAUAGAGUGGAGAUUAGUAGAAGCGACAGAGAAAUGAAGUUAGAGGAAGAAGGAAAGAGUUUAGAUUUAGAGAGAGAUGAGGUUAGAGAGUAAAAAAGAAUAGCAGGUGGUGGACAUCUCAGCAAAUGACUGGUGGGUGGGGAGGGAGAAAAAGAGUGGAUUGGAUUAGAAAUUUUAUAAUUAUUUCAAUCCAUUAUUAUGAGAAUACCUACCCUCUCUUAAAAAAAAAAGAUUAUUACUAUAGGAUAAAUUUUAUUUCCAAAUGAACCCAACACUAAUAACAUUACUUGAUGUAAUUAGCCAAACACCAUAAUAUUUUCUUUAGACUUGUUGGAUUAUAAGGAACCAGAAAAAGAUAAUGUGAAUGAAACAAACCCUUAGGCUGCGUUUGGCUCGGGAACAAGGGGAGGAAUAAGUCCUUGUUCCCUUUUUUCCUGGAACAAGUUUGUUUCCGGAUGAGAACAGGGUUAAUUAAAGUCUAAAUUUAAUUUUAAUGACAGUAAAUCUUUAAUUAAUCUAAUUAAUAUAUUUAAAUUAUUAUUUAUUACUUAAAUAAUAAAAAUAAAUAAAUAAUUUAUUAUUUAUUAUUAAUUAUUAUUAAUUAGAUAAUUAUUAUUAUUAAUUUAUUAUUUAUAAUUAAUUAUUAAUAAUUUUUUAUAAUUAUUAUUAUUUAUUAAUAACUAUUAUUAUUAAUAAUUAGAUAAUCGAUAUUAUUAUUAAUUUAUUAUUUAUAAUUAUUUAUUAAUAAUUAUUAUUUAAUAAUAAUUAUUAUUAAUAAUUAUUAUUAUUUACAAUUAAUUAUUAAUAAUUUAUUUAUUAUUUAUUUUUAAGUAAUAUUUUGAUAUUAACUAAUUAGAUAAUAUAAUUUUAAUUUCAAAUUAUAACUCUUAUUCAUUUUGUUCUAAUCUAACCAUCCAAAUACUAUCUAUCUUAUUCCUAGGAACAAUCAAAUUUUCAUCCAAACGCAAAAUUGGUCUAGUUCCUACUUAUAUCUGAACUUGUACAUAUCCCUAGAACAAACAAUUCUUAAUUAUACCCGAACCAAACGCAGCCUUAAUAUAUUAUAUCCUAAAAAAAAACUACUUCACGGUAAAAGUGUACAAAGGCUUAUGAAACUUUAUCGCUUUGGCAAACGGGCACUUUUAAUUUGACCAAUUAGAUCCCUUAAAUUUUUUAAAUAGUUCAAUAGCUCUCUCUCUCCUCAAUCGAAGUUACUAAUUAUAUAAUUGUUUUAAUCAUUUGUAUUGUUUGGUUGGGGAAUUCCGGGGGAGGGGGGAGUGGGGGGACAAAUUAAGGGAGGACUGUUGUUCCCACCCUUUAACGGGUUAUCAACCCAGCACACCCCGAGGGCAUUCUACUGUUCCUACUCCAAAUCCCCUCUUUUUCCCGAGCUCCUCCGAAAACCUUGCUACUGUUCCUCUUCGCCGACACCAACAGGAAGCCUUUAUCGGUGAUUUUCUUUCUCCUCCUCGCUUCGACUGAACCCUAUAGCGUACGGAUCUCGCAGAUCUUGCUAGAUUCGAGAGGUUUCCCUCUAUUCUUGCGUUGGUCUCGCCUAUUCCUCUUCGUGCCUUAUCCAUCGUCGCUAGCUUACCACCAUUCACAGUCUUUCCCUGGAAUAGCCCUAAUCCCCACCCCCGAGCACAUUUCCGCUAUUUCUACGCAUUUACCCAUCUUCUUCAGGACUGUUGUUCCUACCAUUUACAGUCUUCAGGACUGUUAUUCCCCAAUCCUCAGGGGGGGAGACAGAUUAAGGGAGGACUGUUGUUCCCACCCCUUAACGGGUUAUCAACCCAGCACACCCCGAGGGCAUUCUACUGUUCCUACUCCAAAUCCCCUCUUUUUCCCGAGCUCCUCCGAAAACCUUGCUACUGUUCCUCUUCGCCGACACCAACAGGAAGCCUUUAUCGGUGAUUUUCUUUCUCCUCCUCGCUUCGACUGAACCCUAUAGCGUACGGAUCUCGCAGAUCUUGCUAGAUUCGAGAGGUUUCCCUCUAUUCUUGCGUUGGUCUCGCCUAUUCCUCUUCGUGCCUUAUCCAUCGUCGCUAGCUUACCACCAUUCACAAUCUUUCCCUGGAAUAGCCCCAAUCCCCACCCCCGAGCACAUUUCCGCUAUUUCUACGCAUUUACCCAUCUUCUUCAGGAAGCUCCCACGAAAACUAGCUAUUGUUUCUCCUCGCCGCCUGCUACAGGGGGCCUUCACCGGCGAUUUCCUACCUCCUCCUCGCUUCGGCUGAACACUAGCGUACAGAUCUAACAGAUCCUACUAGACCCGAGAGGUUUCCCUUUGUUUUUGCGUGUUCUCUUGGUCUUGCCUAUUCCUCUCCGCACCUUGUCCGUCGUCGCUAGGCCAACUCCAUGCUGCCAUCAUUCACAGUUGUCGGCUUUAAUCUCGGUCCUUUUGUUGGUUAGUCAACGGAUUUACCACACCUAGCUUCGUUUACAGAGGUUGUCUUGUAGGUGUGGGUUUUUUCUUGUAAUCUCACCUAUUCCGCUUCGUGCUACCUCUGCCGUUGCCAGAUAGGCUUUGUGUCGCCAUUAUUGGCUAUCUCGACCUCCGAUCUUGGUCCUUUUGCUAUAACUGUGGCUAAAUUUUAUCUACCUUUUCUAUCACCUUUGUAAUGGCAAAAUCCACUUGGAACACUUUAUUGAGUUCAAAACUAUAUUGUAGUUGGAAUCAUGCAUUUGGCAACAUAAAAAGCAUUUGAUCUACAAGAUAUAGAGGUGGCAAAUACAUGAGCAAAGAGAAAUAUGUAUGAUAUAGCGAUAGAUUUACAUAUGCCAAGUAUACAUCUUUUUCAAAUUUGUGAAUUUUAUAUCUAAUACACACGUCAGAAUGACUGCAUAGCAUAGAAAAAUUUCGUCAUUGCAACCACGACUAUCAAUGAGAAAUCGAACGUUGCUGGAACAAAAUUUAUGUGAACUCGAUGCCGGUGAUGAUGACGGUUUCUAUUAAUGUUUGAAGGAUGGCAUAGAUUGCAAAAUUUGUGCAACCCCACGUUAAUUGGAAACCAUAUGAGCCAUACUACUGACGCCACUACAUUUCGGCUCUACGACCAAGUAAUUUGAGAAGAAAUUACCUCAGCCUACUUCGAACUGUAAGAUUUCAUAUUGAAUAUUGGUCCCAUCAUGUUUAAUUUCCUUUGUGGGCUAUAUGGGACACCAUGAUUUUAUAUAUAUUUCAACAAUAUUGUAUUACUGCUUGACGUUUAUUACUUUCGGUAUCCUUCAAGUGGAGUUAUCUUUGCAUUUAUGAUUGGUUGUAAGAACAAUGUCCUAAGGAUGAUCUAUAUUUGUUAAUUUCGGUUAAGUAUUGUGACCCAAUUUUUCAUGCAUGUAUGUUGUUUAUUAAUACAGCCAUGUGAAUGUCGGCAUGUGUUGUUUAUUAAUACAUAAGUGGAUGAACUAUUUGAGAUGCAUAUGCAUUCAGUUGUAUUAUGCUUUGUAACACUCUCUCUAUUUUCUAAUACUCAUUUAUGGCAAUGUAUUAAUGUGUCCUCAAGUAUUUGUUCUUGAUGACAUUAGGAUUUUUUUGCAACAGUGAUGGGUGAGUUAGUAUAUCGAUCUGUACUUUCCUCGGCAAUCAUAGCCAAUAUUAUGACAAUAUUAGAUAAAGAUGAUGAUUAUUGGGAUCAAUUAUUUGUGUUGCUACGUGAGCAAGGAAACUUGACAUUUACAAAUUCAUUGAACAAGCAACAAUGUCGAACUCGUCCCUUUACUGGACAUCAAAUGCUCCGUGAUAUUUUGAAUGGUCAUCCUAAGUGAGGAUACCAUCACUUUUUGUAUGAGUACUUCUAUAUUUAUUACACUCCACGAUGAGUUAGUCGGGAGGGGGUUGAUAUGUAGCACAAGAAAUACGACUGCUGACGAACAGUUAGUAAUUUUUCUAUUUUGCGUAGGCCAUGGUGUGGUAAAUAGAAUUUCACGGAAACAUUCCAACAUUCCAGAGAAACAAUUAGUAGACAUUUUAACAACGUUCUAUGAUGCAUUGUGAUGCUGAAAGAUGACUACAUAAUAUUACCGCCAGGUAAUGCUGCCGUGCAUCCAACGAUUAGGGAUAAUUCAAAUUUUCAAUUUUUUAAGGUAAGCUAUCAUACUUAUAUGUAUAAUAACAUUGGGUUAUAAAAUAUUGGUUACUAAUUUUUUAACUAUGUUUUUCGUUGAGUUGUAGAAUGCUAUUAGUGUGGUUGGUCGAGGGAUCACAUAUUCCAGUGAUGGUCCGAAGGAGCAAGCAAGCACGAUUUCCCUGUCGCCAAGGGUUUACAUCCCAAAAUAUGAUGGCGGCCAUCUCAUUUGAUCAUAAUUUUUUAUUUGUAUGCACAUAUUGGGAAGGAUUUGCUACAGAUAUGAGAGUACUUCGAUGGGCGUGCGAAAUUGGUGGUUUCAUUGUUCCCGAAGGUCAUAUCUAAACUUUUAUUCCUUAUAAUAUAUGUUUGAAAUUUUACUGAUCAUAGUGAAUUAUUUAACAAGUUGUAAUCCACAAUAAUUGAAGGUAAAUAUUACUUAGCAUAUUUGGGAUACGCAAAAACAGAUAGAUUUCUUGCGCCCCAUAGAGAAGAAUGUUACCAUAUUAGUCAAUUUGAUACUAACAUGCAGGCCCGCGUGCAUCGAAAUUCACGAGAUCUGUAUAACCAUCGGCAUGUUGUGUGAUACAUAACUUUAUUCGUCAAUACUAGGCCAAUGAUAGCUUUUUUGCGGACAAGGUUGAUGCACAGCUGCAGAAGAAGAAGAUAAAGAUGCUAGUUAUUUGGGAGGAAACGAUGACUCACGGCGUGGCGAGGAUCUUCGUGCUAAUAUUACUAACCAAUUAUGGAACAGUAGAACUUAGCUUGCUAUGCAGUUUGAUUGUAUUGAUAUUAGGUAGAUGGGAUUUGGAGCAAAUAAAGAUGAACUUCUCUGUUAGCAAUGUGGUUUAAUUUUUACGUACUUUACCUUUUGUUUCCUCGGUUCAGUUAGAACAAUUCAAGGUUAUGUUUAUAUUUGUACCUUCACUUGUAUGCAUCUAUUGUUAUUUUUUGAACAUAAUGUUUGUAGAUAUAAUUUUGCUUGAUUCGAAAUGUUGUUAGUUCGUAACUAUUAUUGUUGUAUAUGGAUUAUCUGUUUUGUUUUCGAUGUAUAUAAAUGUCGGUAUGCUCUCAUAUAGUAGGUACUUAUUUGUAAAAGAACCGAUUUGUGUUCUGUGAGUGCUGAACUAAUUUUAUAAUUGAGUGAAAUGAAUUUGUACUAUGCAUUAUAUUAUUAUUUUAAAGCUAAUUGUUCUUGGAUUGUUUAUAUUGUCAUGUUUACAAACUUGGGACAACUACUAUUACUGACAAAUUGGUAACAGAAACUCCAGGGAGUACAACAUCCAAUUCUAACCGCCUCAUCUCCUCUAACAAUGGCACCUGGCUAGUAAUUAUCAUACUCAAAUUUUACACUGAUUUGCGACUUAACGCAUCUACCACUACAUUAGCCUUACUAGAAUGAUAAAGUAUUGUUACAUCAUAAUCUUUCAGUAAUUCUAACCACCAGCAUUUGUCUCAAAUUCAAUUCUUUUUGAGUAAAUAAAUACUUGAGGCUUUUAUAAUCAGUGUAGAUUUUACAAUGUUCUCCAUAAAGAUAGUGGCGCCAAAGUUUUAGUGCAAGAAUCACGGCAGCUAACUCCAAAUCAUGAGUAGAAUAAUUUUUCUCAUAUUCUUUCAACUGUCUGGAAGAAUAAGUAAUUACCCUAUCAUUAUGCAUCAAUACACAACCUAAUUCACUUCGUGAUGCAUCACUAUAAAUAACAAAUUCCUUACCCAUAACAGGAAGGGAAAGGAUAUGAGUUGAUGUCAGUAUAUUUUCAAUUCUUCAAACUUUGGCAAUCCUCACUCCAAAUGUAUUUAAUUCCUUUUUGAGUAAGUUGAGUGAGGGGCCAGAAAAGCUUUGUAAAACCUUCUACAAACCGACAAUAAUAACCCACUAGCCCCAGAAAACUCCGCACCUCAAAAACACUCAUCGGUCUAGGCCAAUCUCGAAUUGCUUCAACUUUCUUUGGAUCAACUGCAAUCCUCUCAGCUGAAAUCACAUGCCCAAGAAAAGUAAUUUUCCGUAACCAGAAGUCAUACUUCUUAAGUUUAGCAUAAAGUUUAUUUUUCCUUAAAAUCUGUAACACAGUCCUCAAAUGCUCCUCAUGUUCAGCUACAUUUUAGAAAUAUAUUAAGAUAUCAUCAAUAAACACCACCACAAACCUAUCAAAAAACGGCUGGAACACCCGCUUCAUCAUAUCUAUAAAUGCGGUUGGAGCAUUUGUGAAUCCAAAUGGUAUUACCGUAAAUUCAUAAUGCCCAUAUCGUGUUCUAAAUGUCAUUUUGGAAAUGUUCUCAAGUUUAAUCUUCAAUUGAUGGUAUCCUAACUGCAAAUCUAUCUUGGAGUACACACAAGAUUCUUGCAAUUGAUCAAACAAAUCAUCAAUGCACGACAAUGAAUACUUAUUCUUAAUGAUCACCUUAAUCAAUUCUCGAUAAUCUACAUAUAAUUUUAGUGAUCCAUCUUUUUUCUUUACAAAUAGCAAUAGCGCUCCCCAAGAUGACACAUUAGGUUGAAUAAAUCUUUUCUCCAACAAAUCUUGCAGUUGUGCUUUCAAUUCCUGCAACUCUGCUAGAGCCAUCCUAUAAGGUACCUUUGAGAUUGGUACAGUUUCUGAGACUACGUCAAUUAAAAACUCUAUUUCCUAUCCGGCAGCAUACUAGACAACUCAGGAGAAAACACAUAUGAAAACUCUCGAAGUACAAGAAUGUCCUCGAGUUUUGGUAAUGCCAUAGAGACUUCGACUACUACUGCUAAAAAGGCUACACAUUCAUGAUUCAUCAACUGUUUUGCCUUUGAUGUAGAGAUCAUCGUGGCAAACAAAGUACUUUGACAACCUUUGUACACAUACUCUUCCUGACCUAGCUCGUGAAAUAUCAGUGUCCUAUUUCUAUAAUUAAUCAUUGCAUAAUAGCAAGCCAACCAAUUCAUCCCUAAUAUAAUAUCAAAGUCCUGCAACUAUCUCAAGACCAAUUGGUCUACAGGCAUAAUGCACUAUCCUAAUUGCACCGGAUACGACAUACAACACUCUCCCACAGGCAACGUAUGAUUAGGAAUAUUGUGAGACCCCAGAUAGUCCUAUAUUUAAGAUAUAAUAGGGCUAAAACUCUUAACCCCGCUUAAGCAUUUUGGAUGGUGGAUAGGCUCAAGAGGUUAAGAGAGUUACGCCUGCUAGGAUGGGAGCAAUCCUAGGAUAGGUGACCCCUUGGAAAGUCGGGGCAUCACAGUUGGUAUUAGAGCCAAUUACUAGCCGAAAGUGUAAGAUGAGUUCGGCUGAGCCAAGAUUGUACAGCGGGGAGAGCGAGGCUCUCAUGCUAUUGACUAUUGUGGGUGGAGCGUGGCUCACUACAAGGUCGGUUUAGGCUAGCGAGACGAGUCUCAAAUCGCUUGGUACUUAUGAGUCUGAGUUUGACAAAGACGUUAGGGCUUAAAAGGAGAAGAAUGUGAGACCCUAGGUAGUUUUAUAUAUAAAAUAUAAUAGGGCUAAAAUUCUUGACCCGGCUUAAGUAUUUUGGGCCGUGGCUAGGCCCAAGAGAUUAAGAGAGUUAAGCGUGUUAGGACCGGAGUAGUCCUGGGAUGGGUGACCCCCUGGGAAGUCGGGGUGUCACAAAUAUGCACCUCAUGAACAUGCUAUAAUAUCAUUAUCUCUAAUCCAUGCAGUAAUGUGAAUGCUCGACUAAUAAAAGAAUGAGAUGCACUAAUAUCAAAUAACGCUCGAGCUCUAAUGUCUCUAAUCAAAAUAAUACUUGUAACCACCCUGUUGGCUAUUGAUGCAUCCUCCACCUGUGCAGCAUAGACAUGCCCACUCGACGUCUGGGACUGCCUCUCAGUCGAGCAUAAGGCUGAAGCUUGAUCGGCAGGAACAUAUGCUGGUAAGACUCCUGAUUUUUGUCUCAGGGUAGAAGGGGAAGAAGCUAGCGAUGGGGCUGGGGUGGUACCACGAGGACACGCUGCCCAAACAUGCCCUACCUGCCCAUAACGAAAAUAUCUGCCGGCUCGCUGAGCACACAUACGAGGUAAAUGUGGCCCACCACAAAUCGCAUGUCUCUCGUCGCCGCUGCUGCUGCUGUGGUCCCCCAGACCUCUAUCCCGCAAAGGACUCACGACCCUGAAAGCUAGAUCGUGAAUACUUUGGCAGUCUCCUCGAACUAGACUGCUCCCCACUACACUUUACUAGUCUCUUCUUCUUCUUGUCCUUUUCCCAUAUCUCUAUUUACUCCUUCAUUCCUGCCGCACCCCUCUCAACCCAUAAAACCAUCUCAAUCACCUCAUCCAAAGUUCGAAAAUGUUGCGGCUGUAGAAACUGAUAAAUCUCUGAUCGUAGUCCCCUCUCAAUUAAAUAUGCCUUACACUGCUCGUCUCUUACUGCAGAGGGUACACAGUUUAGAACUUGAACAAACUCCCUUACAUACUCCUGUACAGAUCGAUCUUCCUGUCUCAUCCUCUUCAGAUCAUUUUCAAACUUUUUCUUCACACUAUUAGGAAAAUAGGCCCUAUAUAACAUCCCUCGAAACUCCUCCCAAGUCAGAUUCUCAAACCUAUCUGUACGUGUCCUUAACCAUGAAGAAUGAGCAUCUCCCUCAAGACAAUGUACUACCAAGUGUACUCUAUCCCUCUCUGGAAUGUAUAGAUCCUCAAGAAGCUUUUCCAAAGCUCUUACCCAAGCCUCCACUACCCGCGACUCUACACUCAGACCAUUGAAUCUAGGCGGAUCAAAUUUUCUAAACUCAGCCAACCUCGCACGUGCCCUCUCUUGCUCUACCUUUGACAUCACCUGUCUUGUGAGACCUUAGAUAGUCCUAUAUAUAAGAUAUAAUAGAACUAAAACUCUUAACCGGACUUAAGCAUUUUGGGCGGUGGCUAGGCCCAAAAGGUUAAGAGAGUUAAACAUGCUAGGACGGGAGUAGUCCUAGGAUGGGUGACCCUCUAGAAAGUUGGGACGUCACAGUUGAUAUCAGAGUAAAUUACCAGCUGGAAGUGUGAGAUAAGUCUCGACUGAGCUAGGAUUAUACAGCGGGGAGAGCAAGGCUCUUAUGCUGUUGAUUGUUGUGGAUGGAGCGUAGCUCACCAUAAGGUCGGUUUAGGCUAGCAAGACGAGUCUCACAUCGCUUGGUACUUAUGAGUUUGAGCCCGACGAGAACCUUAGAGCUUAAGGGAGGAAAAUGUGAGACCCCAGAUAGUCCUAUAUAUAAGAUAUAAUAUAAUUAAGACUCUUAACCCGGCUUAAGCAUUUUGGGCGAUACUAGGUCCAAGAGGUUAAAAGAGUUAAGUGUGCUAGGACAGGAGUAGUCCUAGGAUGGGUGACCCCCUGAGAAGUUGGGGCAUCACAUGUCUGUCCUCAUUUCUCACCGCAGUUGGUCUCAGCCUCUCCAUAACAAUCUCUACUAGGGGUACCACUACUCUAGAAACAUCUACCGGAACACCCAAUGAUGGAGCAUCUUCUACUGGCCUCUGUUGUGUAGUACUAACAUGCUGUGCUAACAACUCACAUAACCUUCCCAUCAUCCCUGGCAUCCCAGUCAUCUGCUCUCGAAGCUCAUGUAUCUCACUAGAACCACUCUGUCCUAGGGCAGAUCCUUUACGUGAUUGUGAUCACCGCUCCAUCCUGAUCACCUAACAUCAAAACACAGAUUAGUUACACUAAGUCUCGCAACUCGACCCAAUUAAAUAAAAGUCUAGAAGAGCAUCCCUUUUCCUCUGCGAUAUUAUGUUGUCUGCAGCCAACAUAAUCAUUCAGAAGGAAAAAACUCAUUCUUUAAUCACUCUUCAAUUCUCUCUGAAGAGGGUGUAGACUUCAAUAUUUUGACUCUCGUAAGUAAUCACGUCUCUCUCGCCCUAUAUUCUGGGGGUCUGUCCGGCCUAAAGUUUUCUAUGCCAAAUAUCCUAAACUCUGAUACCAACUUAAUCCGUCACGCCAUGAAUUACACUGGAAGCCCUAGUUACGUCAACAGACCAUGCGCAUGCAUAAGGAUACAUCUUAUACAUACAAAGUGUCAGCAAAACUUGUCUGACAAAAUUAACUAAAAUCUAACAACAAUAGGUGUCAAAGGAAAAUAAAAAUUAUAUACUACAACAAAACUGUAAUGAUGUACAAUCAUCACCACAUCAGUCCUCAAAAUGGUACAACAUCUCUGACUAUUCCAAAUCUCAAAAUACUGUACAGGUUGCUAUAUACACUAAUAGGUGGUCCAACUAUACACAAAAAUGGUAAGAGAUGCUAACUAUCCGUGAUCUUCGUAUCUCGACCAGUCGCUGGCACUGAAAACUCUAAAAUAAAAUAUUAAUAAAGAGGGUAUAAGAACUACAAUCAAUAGUUUCCAGUGGGUAGGGUCGACAACGCCGACGGUCUACACUAUUAGGUCCAUAUGAGGCAAAAAUAGUAAAUUACUGAGCAGUGUAAAUAAACAAGUAUUAAUAUGAAUAAUUGCUGAGAGUAACUACUACUAUCAUAUCUCUACAAUAGAACUGAAAUCUGCAAUUCGUAUAUGUCAUGUAUCAAUUAGUUACUGAAUAAAAUAUUUCAAUACGACCCAAUCAUAGUGACCGACUCAACAGUCAGGUCUAGCCUGCGCUGCCUCAUGUCCAGCACCUACCUACAGUGGUCCGCUACCACGCAGGCUACUGUCUGGCCCAUGCCAUAAGAAUGUCUCAUAGCCCAACCUCCGGAGUGGCACUCGCGGGGCGCUACUCCAACCGAGUAUAGGAUUAUUGUCAAACUCAACAUAGCAUGCAGGCUGUGGUCAAAUGCGAUGAUCAAAUAGAUCCUGAUAAUACUGUCAUAGCGUCCAAAAAAUAGUGAUAGUCCCACACUAUUUGUAGCUGUUUAAUGACCUUUAGAAAAAUAUCAUAUAUAUAUAUAUAUAUAUAUAUAUAUAUAUAACGGGCGGACUGAGGAAUGCUUAUGGAAGCACGGAGGGCUCCUGUGCUUCCCACUUGUUAAUUCGACUGUUCUGGAUUUCGAAUCGACGAUCGCAUACGUUAGAACUUAGAUCUAGAGUAUUUGAAGUAUCUAGAAAAUAAAUCUUUGCAUUUUUUAAAUAUUUGCUAGUAGAUCGAAGUGGCUCAAAAUCAAAACGGCUGAGAAAAUAAAAUCUUUUACAAAUAUGAUGAUAUGACAAUUAAAAUUUUAGAUCAAAACGUUAAUUGAUCUUGUUUAAUAUGGUAUUUCAUGUGAUUUGGAUAUACAUCGUACACCGAGUUAAAUUGCAACCGGCUCACACGGCCAUUAAAAUAAUUGAUUUGCACCCUUCGAUCACUAGGCAAUGAUUAUCGAAAAAGUCACAAAUUUAUUUUCUUAGGUACUUCAAAUAGUCUAGAUAAACUCUAACAGGCCGAUCGUCUAUUCGAAAGUCAAAGUCGAAAAUAAUUGCGAAGCACGGAGGAGUCCGUGCUAUCCAUAACAUACCAAGCCCCACACACACACAGCAACACGACACACAUAAACACAGAGAGAGUAGAGAGGAGCGAGCAGAAGAGGAAGAGAGAGAGAGAUAACUUGGCGGUUAGGAACAUCGGUAGCACGGAGGCCUCCGUCGUUACCAAGUUGUUUUGCGAUGAUGCAGUGUUCAAAUCGACGAUCGCUACGUUUAGACAUAUCUACAAUAUUAAAAGAUAUUUAAUUGGAACUAAAUUUCAUAACUUUUCGACUAUUUGGCAGUGAUUAAACAGUCCGUCAAAACUGACAAUUUAAUGUAGAUGUGAUAUUUGUGAGUUUACCGUGCUAAACUCAACAAAUCUGAAUAGAAUUUCUAUAAAAAGUUCUUUUCAAACUAUUUAGAGUAAGAUCAACAACUCUGAUCUUAAUAUUAAGUCUUUUGAUCAUCAUUAUUUAUGAGAAUUUUAUUUCCAGCCGUUCAUAUUUAUACUCUUCAGUAUAUAGGUUAAUAUGCCAAAAUUAUAUGAAAUGUUAAGUUUCCAAAAUACUUUUAAUAGUGUAGAUCAAGAUCUACGAAGCCGAUCGUCGAUUUGGAGAGUUGCAUCAUUGAAAAUAACAUGUAGCACGGAGGACUCCGUAGCUAGCCGUAGAUAUACCAGCUAUCUCUCUCUCUCUCUCUCUGCUAUAUAUAUACAUAUUAUUAAAUAUUAUAUAAAGAGAGACUUGAGACGAUGAGAGAGAGAGAGAGAGAGAGAGAGUCCGGCUGGGAUACUAUCGAUAGCACGAAGUAUUUGGUGCUAUCAAGUUUUCUGCCAUUAGAUUCACCUCUUUUAUCAUUUUCAUCUAUUCGAUUAUACUAUUCAACUAACAACCCACUCAACCCUAUGGGGCCACAUCAUCCUAACCGCACAUCUUUUAAUCAAAGGGCAGAAAAGUUAAUAGCACCAAGUAAUUGGUGUUAUUAAUAGUAUUCCAGCCUAUUUCUAUAUAUAUAUAUAUAGUAGGUCUUGUGUGCUAUUAGGAGCCUAGAGCACUCUGUGCUCCUAAGCCGUUUUCGAUGAUAAAGCUUUUGAAUUGACGAUCAGCUCCGUUAGACUUGAUCUAGCGUAUUUGAAGUAUCUAGAAAAUAAAUUUUGCGAUUUUUUGAUAUCAUUUAUUUACUUAAUGAUCGAAAGGGUUCAAAAUCAACGGCUAAAAAUAA